UUUUCUUUUUCAUUUUCCAUUUUCCAUGUGGGUUUUGAGGAUGAACACAGGGAGCAUUGGAUUUUGUAGCAGAAACAUUCUGGUUAGCUCCCUCUAACGCUCUGAAUUUUCUUUCUAACUCCCUAUUUCGGAUGCAUUGUUUCUGUUGAAUAAUCAUUUUCCUUUGUUUUCUUUUUGGAAAUAAUGGAAAAGGGCACAUAUAAGUUUUGUUUACUUAUUUGGAGGGGAAAGUUGAAGUGAGCUACAACAACCCUCAACAAGACACUAGCCAAGAUGCAAGCACUGACUAAAAUGGUGUAGAUAUCAAUUAUAAAGCCGUUGAUUCAAUGGGUUGGUUUGUAUGGUUUUUGAUAAUUAGUGCCUAGAAAAAGUUGCUGCCCUCUGACAACUACAAAAUGACUCCCAAGGAUUGGAUUUAGACUGUAGAACCCUAACCCUGGUUACCAACCUCACUUCCCUUUCCAAUUUGAUGCUUGUUCAUUGCUUCCAACACCCACCUUUACAUUCACAGGCCCCCUUUAAAACUCAACCAUCUUGAUGACUGAGUGAAAUGAACACAUUGUUUGUGUGCUCUUUUAGAUAACUAUUAUAAUCCAUAGUUUGUUUAUAACCAAUAAUCCCCUUCAUCAAUGAUCAGAUGAUCCUUGUUAAAAUGGUUUCCAUGAGGCAAAGCAGAGCCACAUGACAUCUAUGCUCUUAAUCUUCAUACUCAUAGCUAGAUCCCAUUCAUCAUCUCUUGCCAUCUUUUCUUCUUCAGUUUGAACAUAAGUGAUCCACCACCCCAGAAUUUCAAGCAGCCUUUUACUGCUGUAGAGUCCUGAGCACACUCGCAUCCUUCAAAUCUCCCCUCUUUUGCUUUUUCUGCCUCUUCUGCCAAUCAGAGCUGGGUAUCUCUCUUUCUUACAACCAGCCAGAAAAAUCUCCAUUUUUCUUCUACCCUAACUCCUUCCAUCCUUCAAAAGUUAAUCCUGAUAUGCCAGAAAAAAAGAGUGAUGGUUGUUGAUCUCUAAGCCAAACCAUAAAAACUAUGUUCAAACCACAAUCCAUACAAACUUUAGUUAUCAUCAUUGUCUCAGCAUACUUUACUUUUCUUUUACUGAGAAGCUUUAUUAGAUAUUCUUACCUUUCAUUAAGCUCGUAAUUUUCCCUUUAUUGACUUCUCCCCCCUGGUUCAGAGAUACUCAAUUCAUUAAUGGUGCAAUGUAUGCACGAAUUAACAUCAGAAAAUUUUCCAAAGCUUUCUUCGGAUGCAACCCAUCCUGUAUGUGCCACCAAAUGUCACUGAAUAAAAUUUCUAACUGAAAUAGAAUCAUACCUAAGUUUACUAUAUCCAUUUUCAUAGACAUUAGGCAGUGACCUCUGUAUCUCUCUUAGCAGUUCCUCCUCCUGGGAUACUUGUAGGAAAGCCUUCAUUAAAAAUUUUGAGUAGUUUUGGUUGUCUCUACCAUAAGGUUGAGUUGUCAUCAUACAUCAAGUGACUCCAAUUGAAUACCACAAGCUUAAGAGGUUCGGGAAAGCACAUAGUUAUUAACUAGAGGAAUAAGAGGACAAUAAAACUAUACAUUCAAUAUACAUAGAGAAUGAUUGAGACUCUAGCUGUCCUAUCCAGUAAAUCUAAUGAGUGGAGAAGAAGAGAAAGAAAUUUCAGGACAACAAACUACAUUAUUGUGCUCUUCAUGUGUUUGGGGCUAUAGAUUCAAACUCUCUUUUUUUAAGUUUCAAUUCGCACUUAGAAUCCCCAAGGAUGGUUUGGCAUUUUGAAAGACUCAUAAUAUAUGAGAACUCUGUCUAAAACAUGUAUUCCUUAUAUUCUCUAUUCAAUAAAUCUUCACUUCAUAUCUGUUUGAUCAAAACUUUGCAGUUGUCUUUAUACAUGCUCUGUAAUUCAUUGGAUGGACUCUGUUUUUUUAACAAGAAGCAUAAUAAAGGUAGAAUUUGAACUUAAUCUUAACUUUGAUCUAAAAUAUUCAUUUAUAUAUAUGCCGAAGUCACUACAAAACUUCCCAUCUUUCUUGUAAAGAAUCAGUGCAAAUCCAUCUGGUUUAGGUGCAAUAUCACCCUUUAGGUCUAAAAUAACCUUAACAAUUUCCUCUUCACCAAAGGUCUCUCACCCCUUUCUCUCAACGUAACUGACCAAAAAUGACACCAUCUAGACCAUGUAUACCUCCAUGCUCCCAAAAUACAGAUUCUGAUAAAAUCUUACCACUGAGUCACUGGAUCUCUUCCUCAUAAACCACACUUCAUAAAUUUGAUAUGGAAUGGAAGUUUGCUCUCCUUCAAGCAUUUUCCAUUUGAUGAGCUUUAUAUUUAUUUCCUAUUCUUCUAAACUGCUGUAUAUUCUUGCUUCUAACUAAAAAGAUUUCAAAUUAUGAUAUUGGAGAUGUCUGUUUGCAUACAAAUGUUUUGCAUUCAGCUUACAUAAAUAACACAGCAUGCUUCUUCGUGCUUUAUUGUAAUCUUCUCUGCGCUAUGCGCCUGAUAAGAGUGAAUGCACACUCAAGAGAGUAGCCUGAAAGAUAACCUUAAGUUAACCAUCAUAUCUUUCCCACUGCCUAUCAACCUUAAUGGUAAAAGCUAUUUCCUCUCAUGUUAUUAUCCUUGUUUAUGGUUCAUAGGAUGGCAUUUCCUUUCUCGGUGAGGCACUCCUACCUGACAUUUACACUGCCCACAUUAUUUAUUCAACCAAAAGUGUCAAUCAACCAUCUUGCAUGGAUGAUAAAUUACGUCAGUUUCCAUGGUGGCAUUCUUAGUGUAGCUAGAUAUCAUUUGAAGCAUAUCAUUUUCUUUUGAUAAAAAAAAGAAUGGCAUUUAAAGCUCCAGAGGUUUAGCAAUGUGAAAGAGACAGAGAGCUUUACUCACAUUUCUUAGAUUCUAAUUAAAAACACAAUCCAAAGCUGAGAAAUAAUUGAUGUCUAGUAUCUUGGACAGGGAAUGCCACUUUAAGUUGUUUGAUCUCCACUUGGAAACUGGAAAUAAAUGUGUUUAAAAUGAAAUUUUGGAAAAGAGGGAAAUUGAGCAGAAAUGAAGUAAAAGAACAAAGAAUGGAAAUUUUUUGUUGAGAAUUCCAGGUGUGCUACAAGAUGUGGGAUGUUCCCUAGAAGUGGUUAAGGAAUCAAGGUAAGUUGAACAGUUCAUUGUCAUGAUCCUGCCAUGAAGUACAGAGUUCAAAAGGACAUGAACACACAAUACCUGGACUUGGAUUAGUGCCUAUAUGCAUAACUUGUUUAACUAAAUAUGGCUGACCGAAGUCAUAGAUAUGAUUAAGUGAUAAAAGAAAAAUGUUAGGCACCUGUGGUUACAUUAUUUUGGAUCUGAACUCCAUAAAAAGGGACUCAAAACUAGGCGGUCCUGAGCUCAUUAAUUGGAAUAGACUGAUGGCUGCCCUUCAUAUUAGUUUCACACUGACUUCAUCCAGUGCCUUCUUGAGCCACUUCAUCCUAUUCCAGUUCAGUUGUCUUUUCAUGUAUUGGGUCCCUUCGAAUGGGGACCAAGGCCAAUAAGAUCAUCUGUAUAAAUUAUUGACCUCAUACCAUUCUACCUCAAACUCUUGAUAUCUGUCAAUUUCCUCUUCAUAAAUGAAACCAGAGUCACUUGAAGGUGUUCCAUUUUCUUAUCUAUACCCAAUGUUAUGAUAUGGUCUCUUUGAAGGUCAAUCCUUUGGGUUCUCCCCUUAUUCACUGGCAGAGCCAGCAGCAGGGGCACAUGCACUCCCCCGCCCCCUCAAUUUCUUUUUCCCACAAAAAAAUCUCAUAUAUAUAAUAAGAGGUUUUCAAAUAAUAAAAAAAUGAAAUAGAAACUUUGUACUCCACAAAAGAUAGAUUUAAUUUUGAUUUUUUAAAAUUUAAUUUGAUUUUUGUCCUUCAUACAACAUCUUAAUUUAUUUUUCCGUCUUUCUAUCAUAUGUAAAAUUUUGAUUUUGUUGUAACUUUUCUAAUAAUAUUAAAUUUUUGGUAACUUUGUAUUUGACCUUUUAUUAAAUAAUUGUUUUAAAUUGUGUGUUCUCAUCAAUUUUUUUAUUUUUAUUUUUAUUUAUUUAUUUUUUAUUUUGAGACUUAAUUAAAUAAUGAUUAAUUUCGAAAUAAAUUAAGUAACUAUAUUAGAUUAUGUGCUAUUUAAUAAUUCAUAUUAAGGGAAUUUAUAUUUAAAUUUAAAAUCUUAUUUGAUUGAUAGUGACAUUUUAAUAUUAUCAUAUAAUAGAAAAUUUUAAGUAAAAAAUCUCGUUACUUUUAGUUGAUUGUAUUCUUAGUUAUUUGAAAAAAAAAAUUAUUAAAUUCCUUGACAAAUUUUAAUUUUUUUUUGGCAGCAAAAAUUACUAAAAUUACUGGUUAUCUUAUUCUCAUAUUUCUUACUAUUUUCUAGUCUUUUGAAAAUUUCCUUUGAAUUAUUAUUAUUUUCCUUUUGUAAAAUCUAAGAAUUAAUUUUUUUUUUAUCAAUAUAUAUAUAUGGAGAGAGAGAGAGAGAGAGAGAAUCAUUGUGCAUAUUUCAACCUUGCCCCCCUCUAAUCAAAAUCUUUGGCUCUGCCACUGCCCUUAUUGAUUGAUGAAGUUGCAUAUAACUCUUGACUUAUUAAAAGAUUUGAAGAAUUGAGGUAUAGCUUACCUCGAAAAACAUUGCUUGUAUUGCAACUCUCAGAAAUACUGCAUUAGCCCUCAUGAAUGUCAAAGGAUCCUGCUCAUGAGGGAAAAAUAAUCAGGAGCCCAAACAAUAUUCAAAAGGCCCCUGGAUUGAUGAAACACACAGUUCUGGCCAGCAACAAUCAUUCUCAUCUAGGUUGUAGUUAGAUUUUAUAUACUUACCAAGUAUGGGAGAUAACUUGUUAUAUAUACACGGUUGACUCCCAAAGAAAGGGAGACCUUUUUACUGAUUCUCUUUUGUGAUAUUCUGUUUUUAUAUCCAAUUACAACUUAAACCUAAAACUUGAGUGUUUGUGAACAUAAGGUCCUCAGCUAUGAAUGAGAAGAGGCUAUGCUUAUUGCCCUCUUAAUUUAUAAGGAAGGGAGGUCUAUAAUAUGGAUUAGGGUGUUAUGACCAAGAAUCUGACUGGUAAGCCCCUCCCCUGAUUCUGUUUAGACUCCCAUAAUGAAGAAAAGUACACGCUUUGUCUCCUGUUCCUAUUUUGUGGAGUAAAAUAUAGUUGAUGAAUGGCCUAUUUUAUUAGAGCAUCUCAAAAUAGGGAACUGGGUAUCUUGUGUGAUUCAGAGCCUUAUCUAUAAAGCUGUUUUGAGCUUCUACUCUUGGUUGGCUUCCUUCAACUUGAUGCUUUUACUUGUGGGGUAGUUCCUUCCCCACUCAAUUCUCUUGGUUGAAAUGCUUGGAGAAGUACCAAAACAUGGUACUUGUCAGUCCAAGGAAACUUGCAAGAAUUCUUAGUACUAUAAUAGCCCUUAAGGAGAGAUAGAUUCUCCUUCUUCAGGCAACAAUAUUAUUGCAGUUCAAUGUGUGCUGUUGGAGCUAGCCUUCUGCUUGUAAGGGUCAUUUUUGAAUCUUGAUCAGGCCAAGGAUCUCACAAAGUAAUCAAAUCUCAUUAGCUCUAAGUACACUGGGAUCAUCAUGUGGCCUAUGUCCAGUUGCGUGAUGUGUUGGUGGGUCAACUACGAACGAGUGGUUAUAUCUCUUUGAAAAUUAUCCAUGGACUUGUGCAUUUGAUCAUACAAAUACUGAAUCAUUGCACAAAAUAAUUUUAUUACCUGGCCCAUAUUGUAAGCUUUUUAGUCCUUUGCCCAUAAAGUUCUGUCCUGGUUAAAGCAGCACAGCAGUCUAAGAUCUCAGAAAGGGACACUGAGUUGAAAUCAGGAAUCAAUUCUUUCCUAUUGAUUGUCAACUAGGGCAUAAGAAAAGGUGAAACAAAGACACCAAACUUCAUAAUAUAAGAACACAUGCAGGGUUUCAGAGACCCAACUAAAUAUGGGUCCCAUCCAAAGGAAUUUAGAAUUCUUAUCAAUGACUUAGGUGGUGUUUGUUUUUUUGGCUUUUUGCUGAAAAUCAUUUAGUUUUAGAAUUUAGGUUGUUUGUUUUUUUACUUUUUCAUAACUUAUUAUAAACUUUUUACUAAAUAGAAAAAGCCAAAAUAUGUGGUUUUUUCUAAAUAGAAAAAAUAACACAAUGGUUUUUUUUACUUUUUAAUACUUAAUAAAAAUAAAAUACUAUAAAAACAAACAACCUAAUAUUUAAUACUAUUAAGUAUUAAGGUUCUAUUUAGAAUUAAGUAAAAAAACAAACACCACCUUAGCCUUUCAGUGUUCACCCACUGAUUUGUUGAACUGUUUUGAACCUCUUCUCAGAUUUUUGCUAUCAUAAAUUGAACAGUUUGAUGAUGACAGUUAUUUUCUUUUAAGGUGGCAAAUCUAGUCCCAACCUGAAAACCCGUGUACACCACCUUGAAUUUGCCAGGCUUGUCUGCCAUGAUAUGAAGUGCUAAUAGCAUUAGGCCAAUACUCUCUGGACUUUGGUUGGUUAUGGUAAUCUUUCAUGUUUUCCACGUCAAUCUAAAUCCAUUAAGAAAACCUGACUUACUUCCAGGUUUAUCUAUCUGUGGAUUAUUUUCUGUUUGUUUCCUGUGAUUUGAAAACUUUAAAAUUGGGGGAGAGUAGGCGUUACUCUGCAUGUAGUUCAUAAAUACUCCAAAAGCUAAAACUGCAACUGUUGGCCCUAUUUGUUGUUUUGCAUUUGCUUAUAUCAAAUAUCAACCCUUUCUUCUUCACAUGAAAAAAACAAAGAUUUUGAAAACCGAAGAAACUGAUAAGAUGACAAACUUCCUUAGCUGUAAGAUGCAGUUGCUCAAUUGAACCCCAUUUUGCCAUUAGAUGAAGAUGAAUAAAGUAGUGAGGAUGCAGAAAAGCUUGUGUUAUUGCUUUUUGGGUACAAGCUUUGUGUUGUUGGCGUUGAUGAUGACGUUGCAGGAGCUCCACUGGAGCUCUUAUUGUCUUGAAUAUCUGUUGCUGGAAAUCCCUUGAGGAGCACAUCAACCUUUGCAUAGUCCUCUCUCUCAUGUUUGAUCUCCUUGAGCAUUGCUGCCACGUCUUUCAUAGUAGGCCUUUCAUCAGGGGAUGAGUUUACACAUAGUAAGGCUAUGCCUAAUGCUUGCAUCAUUUCAUCCACUUCAGAUUCAGGUCGACAUAGUAAACUUGGGUCAAGGACUUCAACUCCUCCCUUCUUCUGUCUCACCCAGUCCACCACGUGGAGACCAUCUGGUAUUGUUGGGUCAAUUGGUUGCUUCCCUGUCAAAACUUCCAAUACAACAAUUCCGUAGCUGUAAACAUCGCUCUUCUCUGUGAUCUUCAUCAUGUAACCAUAUUCUGAAAAAAUAUUAAAAAUUAGCAGGAACAUAGCUAGAAUAAUUUUUAAUUUGUUAAUCUGAUAGCCCGGUUUAUUUAAGAUCAUGAAAAUGUUAGAAGCCUGCAGAGAUGGUUUGAAUGUGGUCUAUGGCAUUAAAGGGAAAAAAUACCUACCAGGAGCAAUAUAUCCAUAGGAGCCAGCAACCGUAUUAGAGGAUCUAGCAAAAUCUGCAUCAUUGACGAGCUUAGCAAGGCCAAAAUCAGCAAUAUAAGGCUCAAAUUCAAGACCAAUGAGAAUGUUGUUGGCCUUGAUGUCCCUGUGGACAAUGGGCGGAACACAAUCAUGGUGUAAAUAAGCAAGGCCUUGUGCCGCCCCCAACAAAAUCUGGUACCGUAGUCCCCAUUCGAGGGAAUUUCCUGCCUUCUCAUGUAGGAGACUACCCAAGCUUCCAUUGGGCAUGUAAUCAUACAUGAGCAAUCUUGUGUUUCGAUUCCAACAACAGCCCAAGAACCUAACAAUGUUCUUAUGACGGAUUGAGCCAAGAGUCUUAACCUCUGCAGAGAAGGAAUCACGAACUCCAGAUUUAUCAUUGUCACCAUUGGCCGCUCCCAUUGCUGUUGGCCAAAGCUUCUUUACUGCAAUAACUUCACCAUUGUCCAUGUCAGCACGAUACACAACCCCGGAACAACCUUUUCCUAUCACAUUGGAAUCCACCAGGCAUCUCAAUAUUUGCUCCACAGAGAAAUUUAACUUCUGGAAUGGAGUGAAUUGCCAUGGCCAUGAAUCUCCUCCCAACUCUGAAUCAUCAUCUCCUCUGAUGGUUGUUCGUGCCCGAAUCACUGCAAUUGUUCCCAUGAUGACCAGUGCCACUGUCAUUGUUAUCAGCAAUGCAAUGGCUAGUUUGAGUUUCCGCGACUGCCUUACGUUAUCUUUAUUUCUUGUUAAACCAGUCACAUCAUUCAAGAAGCAUGAGUCCCUGCCCCAAGAGCAAAGCCCUUGGUUUCCAGCUAGGUCUAUGGCUGGUAACUGUCGGAAGAGCUUGUUGUCUGGAAGAUAACCAGUGAAAUUAUUGUAAGAGAUGUUUAGAGAAACAAGAUUGUCAAGCUUGGCGAGCGGAAUCAAAUUCCCCUCAAGCUUGUUGUGCGAAAGAUCCAGUAUGGAAAGCUUGUUGAGUGCAGAUAUUUGAGUUGGGAUUGGCCCAGUGAGCCCAUUGCAACUGAGGUUGAGAGCAAUCUCCAGGGCCUCAAUCUGAGAAAGUUCCAUGGGUAUGCUGCCAAAGAGCUCAUUGCUGCUGAGAUCAAGCAAUUGGAGACUUGAACAGAGGCCCAGUGAAGGAGGUAUUGAUCCAGAUAAAGAAUUUCUGCUUAGAAUGAGCUUGUUUAAUGAAACUAGACGACCAAAACUUGCUGGAAUCUGGCCCGUUAAUCGGUUCACUGAAACAUCCAAGACUUGGAGACCAGAUAGAGAGGACAGUGAAUUAGGCAGGGGCCCUUCUAGAAUAUUGUUGCUGAGGUCUACCAUCUGCAAUUCUGUGCAACUUUCAAUCUCAUCUGGCACUGACCCUGAAAGGCGAUUUCUAGACAGAUCAAGAAAAUUUAAGUUCUUGAGUCCACCAAUUUGUCUUGGGAUCCCACCGGUAAUCCGGUUGUUUCCAAGCCGCAUCCGCACAAGAGAACUGCAAUUACCAAUUUCUGGAGGUAUGGUACCCGAAAUAUCAUUGGAAAUCAAGAGCAGUUUUGUGAGGUUUUGAAGCUGAAACAAGCCAGAAGGAAUGGUACCAGUAAGCGAAUUGUGAGACAAGUCCAGUACUUGGAGGUUUCUACAAUUAGCCAAAGUAGAAGGAAUGCUUCCUUCCAGCUGGUUGUCCCAAGCAAAGAAAACCCCAAGCUUUGACAACUUCCCAAGCUCUGGUGGGAUCAAACCUGAUAUCUGAUUUGUGUCGAGUUGUAACUGCAUAAGAUUCCUUGCAUUUGAGAGAACUGAAGGUAUUGAACCAGAGACAUUGUUAUUGCUAAUCAUGAACUCUUGAAGCUCUGAAAGGUCCCCAAGAGAUGGUGGUAUGGUUCCAGAUAAAGAAUUCAAAGAGAGAUCAAUCAUUUGCAAGCUACUACAAUUCCCAAUCUCUUCUGGGAUGACACCAACGAGAGUAUUCUGCCAUAGCAAGAGGGUUUGAAGCUUCUGAAGCUUACCAAGCUCUGGCGGAACUGAACCAGAGAGACUGUUUUCAUAAAGGUAUAAAUUUACAAGCUCAGAACAGUUACCUAUAUCAGGAGGAAUUUCACCAGACAGCAUAGUAGUAUAUAUGGACAAUGUCUGAAGUCUGCUAAGCUUACCCAAUGAGGCGGGUAAGGAUCCUGAAACUUGGGUAUCAGCCAGCCCCAGCACAGUCAGGUUGCUGCAUUCUCCGAGCUCUGCAGGGAUUUUCCCAGUAAUUUCUUUGUUCCCUCCGGCACGUAUAACUUCCAGAUUAGACAACUUCCCUAAAUCUGGUGGAAUAUUUCCUCCAAGACGAUUAUCAAAGAGGAGGAGAUUCCUAAGAUUAAGGCAGUUGCUAAGCUCAACUGGGAUUUUCCCAGUGAGCUGAUUGGAAUUCAAAACCAAGUCCUCAAGCUUCUGAAGCUUACCUAGGCUUGCUGGGAUGGUACCAACAAGACUGUUGGAACUAAGGUCGAUGAUUCUAAGUGCCGUGCAGCCAACGAUCUCAGGAGGGAUGGUUCCAGUAAUAUUGGCAUCUGAAAUGACGAGCUUCUGAAGAAAUUGGAAGGAAGAGAGAUUUGAUGGUAUAGGGAGCUCGAGAUGGACAGACUGUAUAUUGAUUUCGGUUACAAAACCUCGGGGAGAGCAAACUAUGGAAGUCCAGUUACAAGGGGUGGCGUCAUUUAUGUUCCAGUCUGGUAAAGAUGAGGUGGCUGGUGAAGGGGUGCUAUGCAGCCACGAGAAGAGAAGAAAGGCCUCAUGGUUGUCAACGGCGAAGACGGGGGCUGUGAGAAGACCAAGGAAGAAGAAGGAAAGGAAGAGAGGUGGCGGAGUGACCAAGAAUGAUGAGAAGUUGUAGGGUUGCCUCGAGCUGGGCAUCGACAUUUGCCUCAAUUUCCAAACCUUUCUUCUCGGGUUUGCAUCAUUGGGUUCUGCUUCCUCUCUCUCCCUUCUCUCUGUUCUCUCUUUGCUUGCUUUCAACUCAAAACUCAAAAACACACACUUCAUAGUCUUCUAUCACAGACAAACACACAAGAAAAGGAAAUGAAUGUGAUAAAAGAAACGAAAAAACAAAGGAAGGAAUGCCUAGAGAUGAGCAGCAGCUGUUGCAGCACCACCACCUCCACAUGGGAUGCUCACUCUCAAAUCUCAAUGGAAUAGAAUAAGGCAAGGGCUGAUACAUGGGGUCACGCGGAGGAGAUGUGAGUCACCACCUGUCCAUGCCUUCACACGCAUCGUUUGCUUGAUUUAGUUAAUUAUAGUUUUUCCUUUUUUCUCUUCCCUUUGCUCUCUUUGUAAACAAAGGGAGAUAGUGACGGCAGUUGAGCUCCUACCUCCAACUCACUGCUUGCUCUCUUUUGUCUGCCUUUAUUUGAAAUCAUGCCAUCAAACACCUCUCAUUUCUACUUUUUAUUUCUCAGCUUCGAACUACCCUCCUCCACUUAUUUAUUAAUAUAAAAAUAAAAAAUUGAACGUUAUUUUUUGUAAACAUCUUAUAUUGCCUUAUACAAUAAGACACUGUUUAUUGAAAAUCCCAAUCAAGUAUAAUGUGAACAAACCCAUUUAAAUUUGAUGUGUUUAAUUGAGCCCACCGGCAUUGCAUGCGGAUUUCAUCAUAUUAUCAGAGAUGGUGAGCAAGGUUUUGAGUCGCCCCACUGACAUCUAGCAGCCCAUAAUACGGAUUUCAUCGUAUUAUCAAAACAGCUGCCACUUCCAAACUUAAUUUAAAAUCUCAUUGGAGCUGAAAAUUUUGCAACAUCUCCUGACAUUAGGUGUAGUGUGUUGAAGAUGAUGACGGAUUAUGAAUUCCGCAAGCUGGCGCCUUGCCAGGCCAUGCCCAGAAGGCGUGGUUUAUUAGUCAUGGCAGGGUAGGUUAUUUUAUUUGUUAAAACUUUAUGGUGGUGAUUGGUGGCGCGUAUGCAUGCACGCAUAUGAAGCAGAGGUGGUAGUGCCACGCUCCCGUGUUCUUGAGCUAAUGAAUCAUCCAGAGCAUCCUUCGGGAGAAGAGCUUUGGUUGAGGUCGACAUUGGAUCCAAUGGCAUUUGGUUUUUUUCUAUCCACCCUGAAAUAUGUGAUUAUUUUACUCUAUUUGCUCUCAAGAAUUAAAGACUUUUAGUUGGGAAUCACUAUUGUUUAUUUGAUAUGCCACAUGGACCAAAGUGUAUAUUAUUAUGACCUUUUUGUAAGUUAUGGGGUCCAUUUAGACUUAUGGGUCAAAUUGUAUUGAAAGUUUCCUCCUUGUUUUUCUUCUGGUCUCAUGCUUAAUGGCAAACUAUGACCUAGAUGAUAGAACAAAAACUUGCUAUAAUUUUUACUUAAAUUUAGAGUGCAUUUGACAGUGAUUCUGGGAAGCUUUUUUACCUUUUUAACACUUGAAAAUUUUUAUUUUUCAAAUAUUAAAAAUGCUAAAAAUCACUAUCAAACGCAUCCUUAGAAUACAUUUGAAAGUAUUUUUAAUAAAAAUGUUUUUUAUUAAAAAAAAUUUAAGAAAAAUUAGUUAUCAAGUGCUUCUUCGAAAAAUGUUAUAAGUAAUUUGUCAUAUUUUUUAAAAUAUUUCGUAAAAUUUAUUGAACGUUUAAUAUUUUUUCAAAAAACGUUUUUUAAACUAAAAUUCCUUUAUAUAAUCAUUGUGAAACAAAUUCGUAACACCAUAAUUUUGAAUGAUGUAAAGGGGUGCUUGAAGCCUAAGUAUAGAGUACGAAAAUGAACACAUUGGUUAGUGUAUAUUAUCAGGUUUGGAUGAUUUACAACAAUAAAAAAAAAUGUAACAAAUUUAUUCUCAUAGAAACUAAGACCCACAUGAUAAAAUUAAGAAAACUAUAAGAAAUCACACCUAUGUAUUCUCAUUCAUCUCUCUAUCAUGAGAGAAAAAAGAAAAAGGAAACGGAAAAAGAGAAAAGGAAAAGGAAACAAGGUAUGUAGAAAGCAAAGCAAUAUGGAUAUAAAGAUAAAUAUUUGGGAUUUUGGGAGGGAAGUGGAUUGAGUGGAGUGGUAGCUUUAGGAACACAUCCCUCAUUUUGAGGCCUUAUCACGUGACUUGGGGAAUCCAUUUAUCUUUAUUUUUUUCCUCCACUAAACCAAAUCUUUCUUUUAUUUUUUAUUUUUUAUUUUUAUUUCUUUUUUUAAGGGUUUCUAUAUGAUGAUGAUUUGUAGUCAAUAAAUAAAGCGGGUGGUAUCUGAUAUCAUGUAGGACCCUUUGGUCCCUUAAACAACUACUUUAGCACGACUAAGGCCAAAAAAAUAAAGCUAACGGCGCUGCAUACAGCCCCCUAUUUUUAGGGUCGUGCCCUUGGGAAAGCCCCCACAAGGAAUCUAUACACGUUUUGUUCUGUCACACCCUCACAAGACCUACCGAAACACUAACCUUUCCCUUUUGAAAAAAGAUUGUAAAAAUAUAUAUAUAAAAAGAGAAAGGGUAGGAGGAGAGGUACCGCAUAUCGAGACUGGAAGCUCAAGUCAACAGUCAUUGGAUUGGUGCGAUGUCUUAAUCUACUGGCUCUUAACAUGAGGGUUCUCUCUUUAUACUUGUUUAUAUAUUAUAUAUUAUAUAUUAUAUACCUUAUUGGUACAUAAGCUUGAUUUUGAAAGCCACCCAAAGUUCCAAAGCUAAGGAUGAUGAUUUGAUGAGGUAUCAUGUGGAGAGACACACAGGCCAGUACAAAAAUUUUAAAAAAGAAGAGGCAAAACGUAGAAGCAUUUUGGGCCAUGUGAGGCAAUGUGGUAGCCGGUCGGAAUAUGGAGGCUAGGAAUAGGGGGAUAGCGAGUGGUCCUGUGGGCUUUCAGAUGUACCACUUUUUAAGCUAACACAAAGGCCUAUACUCCCAGUAAUGCUACAACUCAAACGGCCGUACGAGGAGUUGCAAAUGGGCCAGGGCUUUUUUGUUCAGCUUUGGACAUGUUUAGGCUCUGUGCAAUGUCUGCAAUCUGUUAUGUCCCCAGUUAGUUGAGCUUUGGUGUUGAGAAGGACCGUUGAUCCUUUGACUUCACUCCAAGCUCAAAACUACUUUCGCCUGUGAACUCCUCUUGGGAGUAUCUCUAUGAAGAUCACAAUUGCUUCUAGUGGGUCGGAAGUGCUUCCUUCUAUGGUUUGAAAAGUGUAAAAGUAAUUUGUAAUUGCUAUGCAGAUUAAAUAGAAUAAUAUAUAUAUAUAUAUAUCUUAAAAUACCAUGAUAUUUUUAAAUAUUAUAUUCAAUGGAUAUAAUAUCUUAUAAUAGCAUAUUCAACAUGAUAUAUUAUGUUAUGUUUAUAUUAACUUUAUAAAUUAAUGAAUAAAAAAAUAAAAUAUAUAUUAUUUUUUAAUAUUUAAAAUAAAAAUUAUAUUGCACAAAUAUCUUUUAUUUUAAAAAUUAUAUUACAAUUUCUCUUAAGUUUAAUAAUAUUCAUGACUAAAAUAUUUAAACUUUAUAAAUAAAUUUUUUUAUAUUAUAUAUGUUAUUUAAUAUGUGAAAAAUAAUAUAAUAAUACAUAUUAUUAUUAUUAUUAUUAUUAUUAUUAUUAUUAUUAUUAUUAUUAUUAUAUAUUUUCUUUUUAUCAUAAAUUUAAUUUUAUAAUAAAAAAUUAUUUUAAAAAAAUAAGUAAUAUAAAAAAAAUAUAAAAAUAGAUAAAUUUAUGGUAUAUUAGAUAUGCAUAUCUUAAAUUUAGAUAUAUAUAGAAAAAUAAAUAAAUAAUAUAUCCUUUCACUUAUUUUAUCUUUUGUAUUAAUCAUUAAACAUGAGAUAAAAUAUAAUAUUCUUUUUUUAUCCUAACUUAUCUUAUGUUAUACCUAGUUAAUCAAAUAUAACCAAUAGUGUUAGGUGUGUAUAAGAAAAUUUUAAAAAUAUUUUUAAAAAAUUAGAAAAUUAACUAAUGUCAAAAUACUUUAAUUAAUAUCAAAGCCACUUAUUUAUUUAUUUAUAUGGAAAUAGUGUUAUGACAAAGUGCUAAAACCCCUCAUUUUUCAAAGAAAAAUAACUAUCAAAGAAAAAAAAAAGCUUAAAGAAAAUUAUUAACAAAAAAAUAUCUAGAUAGGAUCAUCAUAGUCAAUGAUUUUUAUUCAAUGUAUCUAGAAAUAUGGAUCAUAAUGCAAAAUAAUGUAUUAUCAAAGAAAAAAAAGCUUAAAAAAAUUAUUAACAAAAAAAAGAGCUAGAUAGGAUCAUCGUAAUUUUUUUCAUUUUAUACUUUUGUAUGUUAGGCGUAGUGCAAUCAAAGUAGUUGUAUGCAUGUCAUUUUCAAACAUGCACACUUGGCUAGAUUUUUCUUUAAAAAUGGACAUUGAUUUUAAUCACGAGACCCAUAUUUUAUAAGCCUAUCUCAUAAUUUUUUACAAGCAGGACUUGCCUAAAGGAAUUUUGGACUUAAACAACUUUCAAAAAGAACAUGAAAUGCAAAUUGCUUGGGACCCCAAGAAUGUCGCGUUUUGGAUUGUAACUGCUUCGGCGGUUGAUUGAGUUUGACAAGCAACCUAAUUUUCAGCAACCUCAAAAAUAAGCAUUUGUUAGUGUUUAGCAGUUGCAAGAUUGCAGUCGACCAACCAAGUUGUUUGGCUUGCAAUAUUUACUUGAAAAGUGCAUUAAAUGCUAGUGAAUUCAUCAAGAAUUGGUACCUAGCUAAUGACUAAUUUAUACCUUAAUUUGAUAGAAAUAUUUCUCAAACCUUAAUUAUGAUCUCCUAACCACCUAAAAAUAGGGAUGACAACUUCAUGGGUUUUUCGGGUUACUCGUCCCGCCCCGCCUCGUCCCGCCCCGCCUCUAUUAGGACAGGUAUGUGAGUAUAUUAAUAGGGGAAUGGGCGGGUUUGGGUUUAUUUUUAAAACCUCAAAUUGGGUUUGGGCCGAGGUUGGGUUUUGUAAUAACUCGUCCCGCUUACAAUAUACCAAUAAAACCCCUUAUAAAUAUUUCUCUUUAUUUUCAGGAUUCUCUCAUCUUCUCAAAUGAAGAGACAUUCUUCUUUCUGUUUCUUUUUCUCACUUUAGGCCUUUGUGGAGUCGAUUUUUCUCAUAAAGAUAGGUCUCACAAACAAAAUCACACCCACUGCAAUGGCUCUCAAGCUCCUCACCACCUUCAUCUCCCUAUUCCACAACCCUCCUCCUCAAUCUCGUUGUGCUAGAUCUCAAAGUUUUCAUGGCCUCCACUCUUCACUCCAUCUCUAUGUGAGUUUUUUCUCCAUUCGUUUCUCAUUGUUUUGGAAUCUUGUGACACUCAUUAUUAUAAUUCCAAAUGUGUUUUUCUUGUUGGUUUUAUUUUUAGUUUUUUUAUGGGUUUUUUUCUCGGUUGCCAAAUGAAUCAUUAUAUGAUUUGUAAUUUAAGUUUUUUUUGUAGAGAUGUUUAUAGGUGUCAUCAAAAAUUGGUUUUUGGUGUUUGUAUUAACGUGGGUUGUUGUUAUUUGAUCUAAAUGUUUCGGAUAUUGAGUUGAAUCUUGUGGGUUCAUUGUGAUAAAAAAAAAUGGGUUUUUUUCCCUUCAAAUUGAUUACAAUUUGUUGCAUCUUAGGUGAUAAAUUCUCUUUGGGAACUAGAUUUCAUUACGGAUUUGAGAUUUGCAUCUGCCAAAUGAGGCGAGACAAGGAUGGGGACAUGAUUAUAGUUUUGGUUUGAAAACGGGAAUGGGAACACUUACCCCGCCCUAACUUGGGUUUGGGAUGAGGAUGGAAAAUAGUUUUAUAUUUUGGGAUGGGAAUGGGAUAGGGAUGCCCUGUCCCAAACCCACCUCGUUGUCAUUCCUACUUAAAAAUCGUUAGUAAUCACUAUGAGAGAGCUUUAAACUCAUUCAAGUGUAAUUAUUUCAUGACUUUCAUACUUCAUUUAUUAGGUUUAUGUACAAAUCAACCUAGGGUAAUCACCCAAGGAGGGGAAGAAUGAAUUAGGUGAUAAUCAAUGUUCGCAAAUUUAAACAAUUUUAAGAAUACAAAUGACAAUUAUAUACAAUAAUAUAACAAAUGUAAUGGAAGAGUAACUGCAUAUAAAAUAAAAAGAGAAAUGACAGAUAAAUACAAAUACAGGUUUUUAUAAUGGGUUCGACUCUUAAAUCACUAAAAUGCUCUGAUCGGAUGAAGGUUCCACUUACAAGGCCUCUAACCCAAGCCUUUAAGCUUUAAAGUUUAAUUAUGAUUCCAAGGAACCUUUUAAAAUAAGACUUUUGAAUAGAAAGUCUUCAUACUAUCACCCUAGGAUUAUGAUUCCAAUGGACCUUCUUAAGAUUGAGCUCCCCAAGUGAUCCACACUUGGCAACACAAGGAUAUUGAGAAAAUAAAGGUUAUACUUAAAUGAGAAAAACACCCAAUGAUUACUACUCAAAAAGUGCAAUUUCAUAGCUUAUAAUUAACUCUUUUAAACACUUUUGAGUAGUAGUUAUUGCCUUUUAACCCAAUUAACAUGUUAAGGACCCUUGCAAUCAUUUCUAAUCAAAUUGUGUAAGUUUUGGUGUUUUUGUUAGUAAUUUGAUCACCAAAACAAUCCAAGAUUGAGGAGAGUUAUUUGGAAUCCAUGGCAAAGCAAUGAAGAGCUCAAAUUCAUGAAGAACCAAGCUUUGGAGCUCCAUAGCCCUUUGCCAAAGUCGUUCAAAGUAUGCAAGGAGAGAAGCAAGGAGAGAGGAAAAACAGAGUGAAGAAAAACAGAGGACAAGCAGCUGCAGUCUUCAUGCGUACUUUUGGAGCACUUACCGAAGUCCAUUUUCUACAUUCUAUAUACCAUUUCAAAGCUCAGGAAGUCAAGAAUCCAAUGCUUCAAACGGUGUGCGAUUCGGAGUUGAAACGAAGGAGUUACAGCCAUUGCAAGCAGAUCACUCCAAAGUGUUGCGAAAUCAGCCUUUUGUUGCGAGAAUUUCGCAGCCUUUUUGUACAGUGCUAUGGCNNNNNNNNNNNNNNNNNNNNNNNNNNNNNNNNNNNNNNNNNNNNNNNNNNNNNNNNNNNNNNNNNNNNNNNNNNNNNNNNNNNNNNNNNNNNNNNNNNNNAAGCUACCCGAUACAUGCCGCAGCUGGAACGCUGAGAUCCCUCAAGGUGGAAAGCCAAUUUCGUAGCCUUGGCGAGUUUAACUUGUUGUUGCAAAAAAUAUUUUCGCAGCCCUCUUGGGUGUCUGCGGAAAUCUCGCAGAACACCCAUUUUCACCUGCGAAAUGGGUUCCCUGAAAGCUUCCCGAUAUUUCCACCCGACUCUUUUGGAUAUUUUUCUUUCAGAUAUUUUGUAUAAAUUUCCAUUUUCUCCUUGUAUUCAGCCACUCAUGUAAUUCCUUAGCUAGGAAGUGUCCAAGGAAGGGUAAAUUACCUUCCUAUAUAAACUCUCUUGCAUCCACUGUAAAACGGACGCUCGGAGAAGUAUGUAAUAUAGAUAUAUCAAUAUAUAGAAUAUACAGAGCCUUGCUCUGUUUUUCCUUCUCUUUCAUUUUUCAUUUCUUUUUAUUUCUAGCCAACCAAACUUUGAGGAUUUUUCCUCAGAGGAUGAGAGGCUAAGCUUUUUGUCUCUUGGAGUGAGGAAAGCCGGGUAAGUUUCCACAUGCAUAAAUUGGAAGUUUUGUUGUUUUAGUUUUUAAUGAAGAGAAAGUGUAACCCGUUAAUGGUUUUUAUCUUUUUAGUUAACUUAAAACACCUUAGAGUCACCUGGGCCAACACUUGGUAAGGCAAGUGAUCUCCAACCAAGGAGAUGCACUAGUUUACCCCUUGCGAGCCUUUGGGAGGUGACUUGAAGGUAGGAUUUUCUAGAAUAGCCAACACUUGGUAAGCUUUUGGACUCCAAGGAGACAUCCAUUAGUUAUCUCUUGCGAGCUUUUGAUGGGUAAUCCAAGGUUAAAGAUCACCUUGAAUGGCAAGUGCUAGGUGAGAGGCAUGAGCCAUUGCAAGAUGCAUCAGUGAGAGGGAUUUAGUGUUUGAACCCAUUAAUGGGAAGCAUCUGUACAACACCGGUUAGAGAAUUAACUAUAUGUUAAUUCUCUAAUGCGAGGAAAAGAAACAAGUGACCGGAACUCCCUUUUUGUAUGAGGAAUCUGAGCCUAGUGAUCUAAACUCCAAGAAACACUUUUCUUUGUAGUUAAAAUCAGUUACUAUUUUUGGUUAGUUUAAAUCUAAACCUUUUUCAUUCAAGCAUCUUUAUGUUUUCUUUUAAAGCUAACCUUGAAAUGAAAAGGCACCAAUUCAACUUUGAAUUAACAUCAUUUGUGAAGUGAAAACCCAUCCCAGUGAACGAUCCUAGAGCCACUAUACUAUAGUAGCUUUGUCUUUGCUACCCUAGUAUAUGGUGUAAUAGGUUAUAAAUUUUGUUGAUUAAUCCCUCAAUCAAGGAGCACCAGCUGGACACGAAUCAGCUGAGACACCAAGUGGGCACGAAUCAAAUGGCGCCGCUGCCGGGGAUCGAACCUCGAAUCAAAUGGUGCCAUUGCCACUGCCGCUGCUAGGGACGAAUCAAAUGGCGCCGUUGCCGGGGAUGGUGCCACUUUACAGUGAUAUCACCUUUUCAGAGUACUUGUGAUCUUCAUCACAAGUUUGGUGACUUUUCUUUUCCUUUAACUAACUCUUUUUAUUUCUUUAUUGUUCAUAUUUUAGUAUACCUUUUAUUUAGUUUUUAGUUUACCUUAAUUUUCUUUCUUUGAAUUGUUUUUCUUUUGUUUUCUUUUGUGUUCUCUGUUUUUAAUUCACAAAUUUCUAGUUGUGCAUGCCAUAUUGAAUACGAGAUAGCAGAGGAAGCCAUGAACUUCUUGAGUUAUGUGGCUGAAUUUUCAAAAGGAUGGUAUGAACCAAAUGCUCGAGAUAUGGAAAGACUGAUGUCUCAACCUAAAGCUAAGGGUGAGAUGUAUAUUUUGAAUGAUGGUAUGGACAUGAAGGCAGAGAUUGCAGCUAUGGAAAGGAGAUUGGAUGAGCUAGAAAUGAACCAGAUGCAACCAGUGCAAGCCAUCUCUCAAACACCAUUGCAAGCUAUGCCUUGUGCCAUUUGUCUAUCUUAUGAGCACUUGGUGGAUGAGUGUCCUACCAUUCCAACCGAGAGGGAAAUGUUUGGUGAUUGCAACACCUACAAUUCCAAUUGGAGGGACCAUCCAAAUUUCUCUUGGAAACCACAGCCACCUCAGUAUCAGCAACCUGCUCAAGCACCACAGCAAGCCUCAAACCUUGAACAAGCUAAGGUGAAUCUUUGCAAGGUCGUGGGAGAUUUUAUUGAAAAGCAAGAAGCCAUCAAUGCUCAAAUCAAUCAAAGAAUUGACAGAGUGGAGAGUACUUUGAAUAAAAGGAUGGAUGAAAUGCAAAAUGAUCUAUCUCAGAAGUUAGAUAUUCUCCAAGAUUCAAUCUCAAGGCUUGCCAACCUCAACAUAGUGCAAGAGAAAGAAAACUCUCCUUCUCAACCUUGUCAAAAUUCUAUGAGUAUCCAUGAAAUGGAGGCUAAGGAGGGAAAAUCUUCACAAAAGAAGGAAGUCAAAGAAGUGAUCACUCUGAGGAGUGGUAAAGAGGUUGAUCUGCCCACAUGCAAGCUAGAGCAUAAGGUAGAGAGUGCAACAGAGAAAGAAAAUAGGGAGGAAAUCAAAGGAAAGAAAAUUGGGAAAGGCAUAGAGAAAGAUGACUAUGAUCUAAGUAUAGAUGAAAAAUCACAGAGGAUAGUCAUCAAGGAAGAAUUGAUGAAGAAACACAUGCUUCCACCUUUUCUCAAAGCUUUGUAUGAGAAAAUCAUACAAAGAAAGCCCCAAGUGGAGGAUGCAAACUUCAUAUGGGAUCCGGGCAAGCUAAAUCAGGAUCAAAUUUUUUGAUGGACUUAGUCUUUUUAAAGACUAGCUAGUCCAUAUCCUUUUGUUUUGUUUUUUUUAGUUGUUUUAAUUUUAAUUUCAAUGCUUUAAUUUUGAUUUCAAUGCUUUAAUUCUGUUUGUUUUGAUGUAAUAUAGGUUUUUGGAUGAUCAAAAUCAAGAGGAAUUACAAAGAAAUUGAAGAAAAAAAAUCGGAGCAAAAUCGGAGUCAAACGGAGCGAAAACAGGGGAGAAACAGGGGAAAAACAGGGGUCUGCGAGAUUUCGCAGCCUCUGCGAAAUCGGCAUUUUGUUGCCAAACCAUUCCGCAACACUGUAGAAGUCUCUGCGAGGGCAUUUCGCAGCUGCGAAACCAAAUUUGGCACACGAGUGCCACUUCGCAGCACAGGAGCCCUCAUUUCGCAGUUGCGAAAGCGGCUGCGAACCACCAAAGCACGAAAUCCUCCAUUUCGCAGGGAAAGCUCCAUUUGGCAGGGUGUUUGGCAGCUGCGAAACCAAUUUAUGGCACACGAGUGCCAUUUCGCAGCACAGUGAACCUCAUUUCGCAACUGCGAAAAUGGCUGCGAAACGAAAGAAAAAAAAAAUCAUUUUUUUUUUGCAGCCAAAGUCCCAUUCCGCAGAGGAUUUCGCGGCUGCGAAAGCACUUUUGGCACACGAGUGCCAUUUCGCAGCACAGUGACUCCCAUUUCGCAGCUGCGAAACGGCUGCGAAGUUCCAAAACGUGAAAAUUCCCAAUUUCACAGCCGCACCCCAUUUCGGCAAUUGUUGGGCACAAUUCGAUCACUUCCCGAAGUUCAAAUUAUGCAUACAAUAUCUCAUUUGAAAGCUUGGGAAGUCAGGAGUCCAUAGCUUCAAACAGUGCUCGAUUUGGAUUUGAAACAGAAAAGUUAUGGCUGUUUGAAUAUGACUGUGCAAACCAUGAGCGGAAAUAUCGCACCUCAAUUUCGCUACUGUUGGACACAUUUUUGAAGCACUUCCUGGAGCUCAAAUUAUGCAUAUGAUAUUUCGUUUCAAAUCUUGGGAAGUCAGGAGUCCAUAGCUUCAAACGGUGCUCGAUUUGGAUUUGAAACGAAGAAGUUAUGGCUGUUUGAAGACAAGCGCGCAAAGCUGAGCGAGAAUUUCGCGGCUGCGAAAUCAUUUUGAAGCUGCGAUACACCUGCGAAAUCACUUUUGAGCUGCGAAAUCAAUUUUGAGUUGCGAAAUCACUUUUGAGCUUUGAAAUGGAUGCGAAAUGAUCUCCAAGCUUCAGAAUGGCUGCGAAAAUGCUCCAAGCUUCAAAAAUGGUCUGCGAAAAUGCCACUUUGCUGUGAAAUGAUCUCCAAACUUUGAAAUGGCUGUGAAAUCACCUCCAAGCUUCAAAAUGGCCUUCAAAUUGUGAAAUUGACUUGCAAAAUGGAGGGAAGUUUGCAAAAACACCUUGCAAAGCCAAGGGAAGUUGUUAAAAUGCCAACAGAGCCCCGCUACCAUGCAUCUGAAGAGAAGAGCCCUGUGCACCUUGGCAUCACACACACUAAGCCUCUCACUCCAUUUCUAACCUCCUUAAAGCAUCAAAUCCCAUAGCUACCAGCUGAGAGCUCCAACUGAGAAGACUAUGCCACCUAAGGAGACUAUCAGAACAGAGGCCAAAGUCUUGAUCCAACCCAUUCAAGAGGCCACCACAGACGCAUCAGCUCCACAGGACCUUACCAUUACUUGAUCAUCUCUUUACUUUUUGUCUUUACAUAUUAUAUUAGUGUAAAUAGCUCCAUGUUUUAAUGUCUUAUAUUCUGGGAUUGGAUGUAUUACUGAUGAUACAUCAUAUAUAGACAUCAUUUUUGUUUAAACUUGACAUUUUUCUAUUUCCUCUACUCACUAACUCUUAUGUUUUCUUUGAAACAUGUGGUUUCUCCUAUACGACUCAAACUCCAUGUCACUAAGGAGGUACCACUUCCUCCCUAUUUUUUAAUCGCUUUUGUCACAUUGAGGACAAUGUUCAGCUUGGUUGGGGGGAGAGUUGAGGAAGUAAGUAUUGUUAAUAAUGCUAAGUUAUUUUGGUAAUUUAGUUGCUUUUUGUUUAAAUUUUAAAAUUUUUGCUUUAAACUCCAUGGAUAUUAAGGAUUAACUCUCAAAAUUAAAUGAGAGAAGUCAAGUUUCAACUUGAUCACAUGAGUCUUAGAGUUUGUAUUAUGCUCUUCUAAAAGUUGAUAAAUUGUUGAAACUCCAAUUGCAUGCAAACUUAUCUCUUCCACCUUAAGCUAUUCGCACACACAUACAUUAGAUUCCGGUUAUAAGAUGUGAAACUAUCUCACCCUCUAAGCUUGAGAAAUCAUAAUUUGACACCCUUAACCUCUCUUUAAUAGUGUUGGGACACCUCAUAAAGACCAAUGAGUCUUUGUAAAAAAAGAAAAAGAAAAAGAAAAAAAGAAAAAAGAAAAAGAAAAAAAAUAUAUAGAAUAAACUUCUUUGCUUGCCUUGAAACCUGAGCAUGGUCCGAAGGGGUGGCGAAAGCCUUUAAAGCCUGGUGCUCUAAGCCUUUAUUGGUUGGGAGUCACCGAUCCUCUACUUGUUACAUGGGUGAAUUGGUUAAGUUUAGUAAGUGAAAAGAAUUGUGAAUAAGAGGUGCGUUCCUAGCCUAUCAAGAGAUGGUUAAUUUUGCUAAGCUUAAAGAAAGACUUAGGUUGGGGGGAGAUGAUAGUUAUCCAUACUAUACUCGGAAGCUAAUCACAUUAACACUUAGCUUUUAAUGGAAGAAUUUGAUUUGGAUCUUUUGAGAGUGGAAAUUCUUUUGAUGCUUAAACUUGCAUAAUAUCCAUUCUUUGUACUCUAAGAUCAAGUGAAUGCUUUGACAACUCUUAUUAUAGGUUGAGUUUCACAUCUUUAUUGAUCCAUGGAUGUCCAUCAUGCCACUCAUAUCAUUUUUUUGGAGUGAUUUGCAUGAUCCCUUUUAUGUAUAUUAUUAUAGUUACUUAGUUUUUCUCUCCUUCAUUGCUAAGGGACUAGCAAUAUGUCGGUUGGGGGGAGUGAUUACUACUCAAAAAGUGCAGUUUCAUAGCUUAUAAUUAACUCUUUUAAACACUUUUGAGUAGUAGUUAUUGCCUUUUAACCCAAUUAACAUGUUAAGGACCCUUGCAAUCAUUUCUAAUCAAAUUGUGUAAGUUUUGGUGUUUUUGUUAGUAAUUUGAUCACCAAAACAAUCCAAGAUUGAGGAGAGUUAUUUGGAAUCCAUGGCAAAGCAAUGAAGAGCUCAAAUUCAUGAAGAACCAAGCUUUGGAGCUCCAUAGCCCUUUGCCAAAGUCGUUCAAAGUAUGCAAGGAGAGAAGCAAGGAGAGAGGAAAAACAGAGUGAAGAAAAACAGAGGACAAGCAGCUGCAGUCUUCAUGCGUACUUUUGGAGCACUUACCGAAGUCCAUUUUCUACAUUCUAUAUACCAUUUCAAAGCUCAGGAAGUCAAGAAUCCAAUGCUUCAAACGGUGUGCGAUUCGGAGUUGAAACGAAGGAGUUACAGCCAUUGCAAGCAGAUCACUCCAAAGUGUUGCGAAAUCAGCCUUUUGUUGCGAGAAUUUCGCAGCCUUUUUGUACAGUGCUAUGGAAUUCCUCCUGAAGCUACCCGAUACAUGCCGCAAGCUGGAACGCUGAGAACCUCAAGGUGGAAGCCAAUUUCGUAGCCCUGCGAGUUUAACUUGUUGUUGCAAAAAUAUUUCGCAGCCCUCUUGGGUGUCUGCGAAAUCUCGCAGACACCAUUUUCACCUGCGAAAUGGUUCCUGAAGCUUCCCGAUAUUUUCCACCGACUCUUUUGGAUAUUUUUCUUCAGAUAUUUUUGUAUAAAUUUCCAUUUUCUCCUUGUAUUCAGCCACUCAUGUAAUUCCUUAGCUAGGAAGUGUCCAAGGAAGGGUAAAUUACCUUCCUAUAUAAACUCUCUUGCAUCCACUGUAAAACGGACGCUCGGAGAAGUAUGUAAUAUAGAUAUAUCAAUAUAUAGAAUAUACAGAGCCUUGCUCUGUUUUUCCUUCUCUUUCAUUUUUCAUUUCUUUUUAUUUCUAGCCAACCAAACUUUGAGGAUUUUUCCUCAGAGGAUGAGAGGCUAAGCUUUUUGUCUCUUGGAGUGAGGAAAGCCGGGUAAGUUUCCACAUGCAUAAAUUGGAAGUUUUGUUGUUUUAGUUUUUAAUGAAGAGAAAGUGUAACCCGUUAAUGGUUUUUAUCUUUUUAGUUAACUUAAAACACCUUAGAGUCACCUGGGCCAACACUUGGUAAGGCAAGUGAUCUCCAACCAAGGAGAUGCACUAGUUUACCCCUUGCGAGCCUUUGGGAGGUGACUUGAAGGUAGGAUUUUCUAGAAUAGCCAACACUUGGUAAGCUUUUGGACUCCAAGGAGACAUCCAUUAGUUAUCUCUUGCGAGCUUUUGAUGGGUAAUCCAAGGNNNNNNNNNNNNNNNNNNNNNNNNNNNNNNNNNNNNNNNNNNNNNNNNNNNNNNNNNNNNNNNNNNNNNNNNNNNNNNNNNNNNNNNNNNNNNNNNNNNNNNNNNNNNNNNNNNNNNNNNNNNNNNNNNNNNNNNNNNNNNNNNNNNNNNNNNNNNNNNNNNNNNNNNNNNNNNNNNNNNNNNNNNNNNNNNNNNNNNNNNNNNNNNNNNNNNNNNNNNNNNNNNNNNNNNNNNNNNNNNNNNNNNNNNNNNNNNNNNNNNNNNNNNNNNNNNNNNNNNNNNNNNNNNNNNNNNNNNNNNNNNNNNNNNNNNNNNNNNNNNNNNNNNNNNNNNNNNNNNNNNNNNNNNNNNNNNNNNNNNNNNNNNNNNNNNNNNNNNNNNNNNNNNNNNNNNNNNNNNNNNNNNNNNNNNNNNNNNNNNNNNNNNNNNNNNNNNNNNNNNNNNNNNNNNNNNNNNNNNNNNNNNNNNNNNNNNNNNNNNNNNNNNNNNNNNNNNNNNNNNNNNNNNNNNNNNNNNNNNNNNNNNNNNNNNNNNNNNNNNNNNNNNNNNNNNNNNNNNNNNNNNNNNNNNNNNNNNNNNNNNNNNNNNNNNNNNNNNNNNNNNNNNNNNNNNNNNNNNNNNNNNNNNNNNNNNNNNNNNNNNNNNNNNNNNNNNNNNNNNNNNNNNNNNNNNNNNNNNNNNNNNNNNNNNNNNNNNNNNNNNNNNNNNNNNNNNNNNNNNNNNNNNNNNNNNNNNNNNNNNNNNNNNNNNNNNNNNNNNNNNNNNNNNNNNNNNNNNNNNNNNNNNNNNNNNNNNNNNNNNNNNNNNNNNNNNNNNNNNNNNNNNNNNNNNNNNNNNNNNNNNNNNNNNNNNNNNNNNNNNNNNNNNNNNNNNNNNNNNNNNNNNNNNNNNNNNNNNNNNNNNNNNNNNNNNNNNNNNNNNNNNNNNNNNNNNNNNNNNNNNNNNNNNNNNNNNNNNNNNNNNNNNNNNNNNNNNNNNNNNNNNNNNNNNNNNNNNNNNNNNNNNNNNNNNNNNNNNNNNNNNNNNNNNNNNNNNNNNNNNNNNNNNNNNNNNNNNNNNNNNNNNNNNNNNNNNNNNNNNNNNNNNNNNNNNNNNNNNNNNNNNNNNNNNNNNNNNNNNNNNNNNNNNNNNNNNNNNNNNNNNNNNNNNNNNNNNNNNNNNNNNNNNNNNNNNNNNNNNNNNNNNNNNNNNNNNNNNNNNNNNNNNNNNNNNNNNNNNNNNNNNNNNNNNNNNNNNNNNNNNNNNNNNNNNNNNNNNNNNNNNNNNNNNNNNNNNNNNNNNNNNNNNNNNNNNNNNNNNNNNNNNNNNNNNNNNNNNNNNNNNNNNNNNNNNNNNNNNNNNNNNNNNNNNNNNNNNNNNNNNNNNNNNNNNNNNNNNNNNNNNNNNNNNNNNNNNNNNNNNNNNNNNNNNNNNNNNNNNNNNNNNNNNNNNNNNNNNNNNNNNNNNNNNNNNNNNNNNNNNNNNNNNNNNNNNNNNNNNNNNNNNNNNNNNNNNNNNNNNNNNNNNNNNNNNNNNNNNNNNNNNNNNNNNNNNNNNNNNNNNNNNNNNNNNNNNNNNNNNNNNNNNNNNNNNNNNNNNNNNNNNNNNNNNNNNNNNNNNNNNNNNNNNNNNNNNNNNNNNNNNNNNNNNNNNNNNNNNNNNNNNNNNNNNNNNNNNNNNNNNNNNNNNNNNNNNNNNNNNNNNNNNNNNNNNNNNNNNNNNNNNNNNNNNNNNNNNNNNNNNNNNNNNNNNNNNNNNNNNNNNNNNNNNNNNNNNNNNNNNNNNNNNNNNNNNNNNNNNNNNNNNNNNNNNNNNNNNNNNNNNNNNNNNNNNNNNNNNNNNNNNNNNNNNNNNNNNNNNNNNNNNNNNNNNNNNNNNNNNNNNNNNNNNNNNNNNNNNNNNNNNNNNNNNNNNNNNNNNNNNNNNNNNNNNNNNNNNNNNNNNNNNNNNNNNNNNNNNNNNNNNNNNNNNNNNNNNNNNNNNNNNNNNNNNNNNNNNNNNNNNNNNNNNNNNNNNNNNNNNNNNNNNNNNNNNNNNNNNNNNNNNNNNNNNNNNNNNNNNNNNNNNNNNNNNNNNNNNNNNNNNNNNNNNNNNNNNNNNNNNNNNNNNNNNNNNNNNNNNNNNNNNNNNNNNNNNNNNNNNNNNNNNNNNNNNNNNNNNNNNNNNNNNNNNNNNNNNNNNNNNNNNNNNNNNNNNNNNNNNNNNNNNNNNNNNNNNNNNNNNNNNNNNNNNNNNNNNNNNNNNNNNNNNNNNNNNNNNNNNNNNNNNNNNNNNNNNNNNNNNNNNNNNNNNNNNNNNNNNNNNNNNNNNNNNNNNNNNNNNNNNNNNNNNNNNNNNNNNNNNNNNNNNNNNNNNNNNNNNNNNNNNNNNNNNNNNNNNNNNNNNNNNNNUGAGAGGGAUUUAGUGUUGGAACCCAUUAAUGGGAAGCAUCUGUACAACACCGGUUAGAGAAUUAACUAUAUGUUAAUUCUCUAAUGCGAGGAAAAGAAACAAGUGACCGGAACUCCCUUUUUGUAUGAGGAAUCUGAGCCUAGUGAUCUAAACUCCAAGAAACACUUUUCUUUGUAGUUAAAAUCAGUUACUAUUUUUGGUUAGUUUAAAUCUAAACCUUUUUCAUUCAAGCAUCUUUAUGUUUUCUUUUAAAGCUAACCUUGAAAUGAAAAGGCACCAAUUCAACUUUGAAUUAACAUCAUUUGUGAAGUGAAAACCCAUCCCAGUGAACGAUCCUAGAGCCACUAUACUAUAGUAGCUUUGUCUUUGCUACCCUAGUAUAUGGUGUAAUAGGUUAUAAAUUUUGUUGAUUAAUCCCUCAAUCAAGGAGCACCAGCUGGACACGAAUCAGCUGAGACACCAAGUGGGCACGAAUCAAAUGGCGCCGCUGCCGGGGAUCGAACCUCGAAUCAAAUGGUGCCAUUGCCACUGCCGCUGCUAGGGACGAAUCACCCAAGAGGGGGGUGAAUUGGAUUUUUCAAAAUCUUUUUCAACACAACAAAUUCAAGCACAAUAGAAGCAAAAAUAAAGAGGUGGAGUUUAGAGAAAGCAAACUCAGAUUUUAUAGUGGUUCAACACUUUCUUGCCUACAUCCACUCUCCUGAAUCUCGUAACCAAGUGAGGGUUCCACUAACUUAAAGCUUCAACUAAGCUUUUAAUCUCCUUUACACUUGGAUUUCGGCUCCAAUGGGCUCUUACAUAAUGUCUUCAAGAUUCAACUCAGUUGAAGCCUUUAACACUCACUUUUUACAAGAAUGAAUCCCUCAACCUAGCUCAAUGAUAGCUCAAAUACAAAUCAAAGUUAGGAUGAAACACAAAGGUGCACUAAAGGAUAUGCAAGUGUAGAUUUAAUGCACCAAGAAAGAAAUGAGAGUUUUUAAGGCAAGAACAAGUGGGUAGACAAUUGAAUGCAAGUGUUCUCUAUGUCAUAAAUGAAGUAGAGCUCUCAAUUUAUAAGUUUUUAACCUCGGGAGCCAAGAAAAACAAAAAACAAAAAACAGCCUCAACCGGUUGAGCUGGGGGUCGACCGGUUCACUAGCCGUUGGAGCAUUUAAUGCUUUGGCAGGUUUUCGUUGCCUCGACCGGACCUCGAUCGGGAAGGGAAGGCUACUGGAUGAGAGAGUGUGUUUUUAACACUCCUCGACCAAACCUUGACUGGACAAGGGCAACCGGUCGACCGGUUCCCUGGCCGGUUGAGUCGGUUGGCCAGUGCCUCGACCGAUUCAGCCUUUUGGCCCCGAAAACCUAUCUUUUUCAAUUCUUUUCUUUUCUAACACUUAGGCAAGGUUUUUAGGUAAAUUAAUAUGUCAAUUUUGAAAUGUUUUGCCUAAGGUACAUUUGAUAAAACUCGGGUUUUAAUGAAAUUAUAAGUUUAAAUAAUAAACUGAGUUUUCCAAAUAUGCAUGAAAAGAUAUGUAAAACCUAAGUGCACCCAUGCAUUCAUCUUACAUUUGUUUCCUAUGAUUAAAAGUCUUCCAAAUAUAUCGAUCUUGUAUCCAUUUGGUCCUUUGAUGAAUUUCCAAAUUUAUACCUGAGAUUCUUUACAAUUCAAACCAAUUAGUCACUUAACCAUGGUUUGUUAUCAUCAAAACUUGAUUAGGAGAACCCUUGGGCUAACAAUCUCCCCCUUUUUUAUGAUGACAAACCUUGGUUAUCUAGGAGAAGAAAAAAAAUCUCAUCCUCAAACCAAUCAUGGAUCAAUCAUUCAAAAUUUAUGAUGUUAAAACAAAUACAAUCAAGACAUGCAAAUUUUUAAUAGGAAACAAAGAUAAGUCAUGAAACAUAUAGCAUAUCAUAUAUAAGUAAAGUCAAAUGUACACUAAACAUAAACAUAUAAGUCAAUCUAAACAAAUGAUAUGAUAAUGAUAUGCAUGUGAGUCUCCUAGAUAUAAGCUAAUCCUAAAUAUCUCUCCCCCUUUUGGCAACAUAAAAAAGGAAUGAAGGGGGUCUCUAUGAAAUCAAGGCUAAGAAGGUGGAGGUGGAAACAUGGAGCGUAGGUAAGCCAUCAUUUCCUCAUGCUGACUUUCCUAGCGACUCUCAAUACGCUCUAUCCUCUAUUAGAGAUGCUUAAACACAGUCUGCUGCUGAUCCAUGCGAUCCUUCAUACGCUCAAACCUCUGCUACAUAUACUCAAACUGAGAGGUGAAGCCAGUCUUAUAUUGAUCCAUGUGAUCCUCCAUAGAGUAGAAUCGAGUAUCACUAACUACUACAAGCUCCUCCAUGCGAGUGCCGAGAGAGCUAAUCUGAACAAACAGAUCCAUCCAAGGUGCAUGAUCAGGAGCAUGAGGUGUCUGAUGAGGUGAUGUCUCUAUGUGAGAAGGCUUAGUGAAAGAUGACUGAGAAGAUGGUCCCGUUGUGUAAGCCAGCUCAGACAUCAUCGUCUCAGGGAAUGUGGCAUCAAACUGAACACCCUCGGACUGGAGUGGAGGAAUGUCAAGCUCGGGCCCUCUCUGCUAAAAACCUCUUUAAGGGUCUACUCUACCUUCCGUCUCUCGUAUCUCGACCUUCUCCUCUACUCCAGGAUGCACCUGUCCCUGUCACCAGGCAUGUGUUGUUGGUCUCUCUGCUCUCAUAAUCUAGGAAUCAUCGGGGGCCUUCUCAAAUUUCAUCCUUCCCAAAGAUUGCUCAUCAUAUGUAUCGUAAGUGUUAGGGACCUCAAAAUUUGUCUCUCUGCUCAAAUCGACCUCGACAUCUUUAAACACUCUAGUGAGGAAACUACCGUAAGGGAGUACGUGGGUAGUGCUCUCGCAGAAUGAGAUCUUGUGCAUCAUCAUCAAAUAUCCCACAUGAAUCCGUCUCCCCAUCAUAAUGGAGUCCACAAGGAAUGCCUUAAGGUAUGAGACCUCAUUUCGGUGUCCGCCUCAUGGCAGUAAGAUGGAGCAGAUCAUGUGAUGUAGCACUCUGCUGCUCACGGUCAAGCUAUGGGUCAAUGGUUUGCCCAUCCCCUAAGCGUCUGCAAUACCGCACAUCCUCUGAAUGACCUCUCUAAGCUCGAAACUCGGCACAGUGGGCCAAACCUUGGACUCAUACACCUUGAGUCCAACUAGAGCAAUAUCUAAAAUAUGGCAGAUGCUCUCCGGGUCCAAUUGAAUCUCAACACCUCUAACGGUGGAAAUAAUCGGGUCACCAAGUCCAUAUGUAGCCCUCAAAUAGUACGCACACACUAGAGUCGGAAAAAUCAGCUCUGAAAUCAUCACUACUGGCAGCCAACUCAUUCGACUGAAGAGGCCCUCAAACCUGAAAUGCUGCAGUUGGGAGAAAUUGAUACUUCUCCCUAGAACUACAUUUCUCUGAGCAAACUUCUGCUUGUACCUUUGAUAAUCCUCCACGAUGAUGAAAAGGGACGUGUCAAACCUCGCCUUUCAACAAGCCUCCAUCUGAGCAGGCUGAGACAGCUCAACUGAGCGUUGUCCCUGUGCUCUAAAGGUAAUCGUCUCUCUCCUAUGAGCCACCAAAAAAGCAUAAAUGAAGGAGACGAGGCUGGUAAAGAGAGAAGCACACACACCCAAGACCCUAGGUGCGUAGGAAAGGUGCUGAAGCUGGUUGUGAUGCGCAGACAAAGGAAAAGUCGUCCCAGAUCCAAAACCCUAGCCUUUGAAAAUCAAUUCAAAGCCCUCAAUCUGCUACAAUGGCCUAAAAAAUCACUCAUUGGCAGUUGAAUCAGCACAACCCUUGAAGAACCAAAGGAAACAUGUGAGAAAAUGAAGCGCGAGAGGGUAUUUAAAUCGUCAGCCUCGACGAAACGGUCAACCUCCUAGUCAACAGUCAACGCGAUCAACUUUUAAACUUUUCUGCAUUUUCUCGUCUCAUGAUCCUCCCCCUACAUUUUUCAGUUGAAAUCCCCAAUUUUGUAUGCCCAAUACUAAGGGAAUUUUGAUUUUUUGGUCAAAAUUUAACCAUUUAUCUAAGUAUAUGUCUAUAUGAUGCAUAUGACAUGAAAUUCAUGCAAUCAGAAGGUAUAUUCAUUAAGCAAUCAUUAGAUCAUAAGGAAAUCACCCCUAGUUGUCUUCUAAUAUCAAAAAAUUGUUCUUCACUUAGAGGUUUUGUAAAAAUAUCGACAAGUUAAUCUUUUAUGCUUACAAAUUCAAGUGUAAUGUCACCCUUUUGUGCAUGGUUUUUAAGAAAAUGAUGUCUAAUCUCUAUAUGCUUAGUCCUAGAGUGUUGCACGGGAUUUUUUGAAAUAUUUAUGGCACUAGUAUUAUCACAAUUAAUAGGAACAUGCUCAAAAGAUAAAUCAAAAUCACUAAGUGUUUGUUUCAUCCAAAGAAUUUGUGCACAACAUAAACUGAUUGCUAUAUAUUCGGCUUCUGCCAUUGACAAGGCUAUCGAAUUUUGCUUUUUACUAUGCCAUGAAACAAGUGAGUGUCCUAGGAAAUGACAAGUGUCACUAGUACUUUUUCUUUCAAUCCUACAACCGGAAAAAUCGGCAUCCGAGAAUCCAAUUAAUUCAAAGUUAUUACUCUUAGAAUACCAUAAGCCUAUGUCCAUUGUCCCUUUCAAAUAUCUAAGAAUUCAUUUUACGACACUUAGGUGAGAUUCUUUAGGACAAGAUUGAAAUCUAGCACACAAGCAUACACUAUACAUAAUGUCAGGUCUAUUAGCGGUCAAAUAUAGCAAAGAACCUAUCAUGCCUCUAUACAUAGUUGAGUCAAUGGAUUUACCUUUUUCAUCCUUAUCAAGCUUGAUAGAUGAGCUCAUUGGAGUCUUCAUUGUUUUGGCUUCUUCCAUGUUGAACCUUUUGAGAAGAUUUAUUAUAUACUUUACUUGAUUGAUGAAGAUUCCUUCCUUUAGUUGCUUGAUUUGAAGUCCAAGGAAGAAGUUGAGUUCUCCUAUCAAGCUCAUUUCAAACUCACUAUGCAUGCACUUAGAAAAUUCUUCACAAAGAGAGACAUUAGUAGCUCCAAAAAUACUAUCAUCAACAUAUAUUUGAACUAAGAUCAUAUCCUUUUAUUUGGUCUUUAUGAAAAGAGUUGUGUCAAUUUUUCCUAUUUUAAAACCCUCUUUCAAAAGAAAUUUACUCAAUAUUUCAUACCAUGCUCUAGGUGCUUGUUUCAAACCAUAAAGUGUCUUUAUAAGUUUAAAAACAUGGUUAGGAAAGUUAAAACUUUGAAAACCAGGUGGUUGUUCAAUAUAUACUUUUUCAUUUAUAAAGCCAUUUAAAAAAAAACACUUUUCACAUCCAUUUGAUAUAAAACAAAGUCUUUAAAAAAUGUUACGGCAGGUAGCAUCUUAAUGGCUUCCAACCUAGCUACGGGGGCAAAGGUUUCUUCAUAAUCUAUCUCUUCUUCUUGAUUAAAACCUUGGGCUACCAAUCUUGCUUUAUUUCUAACAAUUAUGUCAUUUCAUCCAUUUUAUUUCUAAAAGCCCAUUUAGUUCCAAUAACACUUUGAUUUGAAGGUCUUGGUACUAAUUCUCAUACUUCACUUUUUUCAGAUUGAUUUAACUCUUCUUGCAUAACAAUCAUCCAAUUUUCAUCAACUAAAAUAUCAUUUAUAUUUUUAGGCUCAAUUUGAGAUAUAAAAGCAAGAUUAUUGCAAAUAUUUCUAAGUGAUGAUCUAAUUUUUACCCCACUAGAUGGAUUACCUAUAAUUUGAUCUUAUGGGUGGUUGAUGACAAACUUCCAAUCUUUAGGAAGGUCUUGGCUUGAUUCACCUUGCUCUUGUUGAGAAGGUGGUAGUGCCAAUGGUGAUUCUUAUUUCUUGGGAUCCUCUCCAAUUUCUUCUUGAUGCCUUCUAUCUUCAAUUUGCAAUUUUCCCAUAGAGGUCACCAACCCUAAAUCAUCAUCAAAACUCUUUUUUUCUUGGAGAGAAUUGUUAGAUUCAUAAAAUAUAACAUGGAUGGACUCCUCUACAACCAUGGUUCUUUUGUUAAAAACUCUAAAAUCUUUACUUGAAGUUGAGUAACCAAGGAAAAUUUCAACAUCCGAUUUUGCAUCAAAUUUUCCAAGAUUGUCUUUGGUGUUUAAUAUAAAACAUUUGCAUCCAAAGACUUUGAAAUAACUAAUGUUGGGUUUCUUGUUUUUCCAAAGCUCAUAGGGAAUUUUCUUAAGAAGGGGCUUCAAUAAUAUUCUAUUUAAAACAUAACAAGAAGUGUUAAUCGCUUCGACCCAAAAAUAUUUUGGUAAAUUGUUUUCAUUUAGCAUGGUUCUAGCCAUUUCUUGAUGAGUUCUAGUUUUCCUUUCAACUACCCCAUUUUGUUAAGGAGUUCUAGAAGCCGAAAAAUUGUGGUUAAUACCAUGCUCAUUGCAAUAUUCUUCAAAAUCAAUAUUUUCAAAUUCUCUCCCAUGAUCACUUUUUAUACAAGUAAUUGUAAAACCCUUUUCAUUUUGAAUCUUAUUGCAAAACUUUAAAAACUCAUAAAAGGCUUCAUUUUUUUUACUUAAAAACAAGACCCAUGUAUAUCUAGAGAAGUCAUCCGCAAUAACAUAAGCAUAAGACUUUCCCCCAAGACUUGGUGUCCUAGAAGAACCAAAUAAAUCAAUAUGCAACAACUUAAGUGGCCUAGAUGUGGAAAUGAAGUUUUUGUUUUUGAAAGAGUUUUUGAUUUGCUUUCCCACUUGACAAGCUUCACAAACUUUGUUUUUUUGAAAAUUAAUUUUGGGAAGACCUCUAACAAGUUCAUCUUUGUUGAGUUGGGAAAUGAGGUCCAUGUUAUCAUGUCCCAACCUCCUAUGCCAUAACCAACUUUGAUCAUGCAUGUUUGAAAAGCAUCUAUCAUGGCCAUCAUAUUUUGAAAUAUUUAUAGCGUAAACAUUAUCACAUCUAUGACCCAUGAAGAUGAUUUUAUCAUUUUGAAUAUCCCUGAUGAUGCAAUGAGAUGCUUCAAAAAUCACUUUAAAACCUUUGUCACAAAAUUGACUAAUGCUUAAAAGGUUAUGUUUUAAACUAUCCACUAAUAAAACACUUUCAAUAAGAGAGGAUGUGACAUUACCAAUGUUGCCUUAACCAAUGAUUCUUCCUUUUGCAUUGUCUCCAAAGGUAACAUAUCCUCCUUUUCUCUUUGUAAGGAAAACAAACUUGGAUUCAUCUCCGGUCAUGCGUCUUGAGCAUCCACUAUCCAAGAACCACUUAUCCUUCUUUGAACCCUACAAAAUAUAACUCAAGUUGAUUUAGGUACCCAUAUCUUUUUGGGUCCUUGAGGGUUAGUGACCUUGGAUUUUUCAAUCCAAACCUUUUUAGUUUUUGUAUUUGAAUUCUUUUGAGAAUCAUUUCUUAAAGGACACGUACUACUAAUGUGUCAUCCUCUUCCACAAAAGUUGCAAGUCAUAGAAGGACUUGCACUUGUAGAUUCUUUUACAAAAUAAUUUUUAAAAUACUUUUGAUUUUUUGAAUAUUUGAAUCCUAACCCUUGUUUGUCAAAAACACAUUUUUUACUAGCUAAAAUCAUUUCAAAAGAUUUUUGUCCACAAGAAAAUAUUGAGAGAGAGGAGGUCAACUAUUCAUUUUUCUUUCCCAAAAUCUCAUUUUCUUUUUCAAGACGAGUUUUAGAAAUUUCAACAAUUGAAAAUUUUUCUUUUACUUCUUAAAGUUCUUUUUCAAGUUCUUGAAUUUAUUUUUAAGAGAAUUAUAUUUAAACUAAGUUUUUCAAAAUCCUCAUACAAUUGCUCAAAAACAUCAUCCAUAUCUUCAUCACUAAAGUUGGAGUUUACCUCAUCAAGUUUAUCUAUUGUCAUAAAGCACAUGUUUGUCACUUCUUUCUUAUUUUCUUCUUCAAAGGAUUCUUCACUUUCACUCCAAGUGACCAUCAUUGCUUUCUUCAUUCUUCUCUUGGCUUCACUUUUGUAGAGAGGACAAUCAUAUUUAAUGUGUCCCGGUUUCUUACUUUUGAAACACACCAAAUCUCUUUUCUCUUCCCAUUUCUCCUUGUCACCAUGAGAUGAAGAUUCCUUUUUAGAAAUGUCUCUUCUAGAGGUGAACCUUCUUCCUUUAAACCUUUCACCCCUCAUGUAUUUAUUGAGCUUUCUUGUGAUGAGGGCUAAAUCAUCAUCUUCUUCACUUGGUUUUUCUUCUUCAAAAUCUUCUUUUUCCUUAGUUGUAGCUUUGAGAGCUAUGUUUUUCUUCUUUUUGUCUUCACUUUCUUGUAGCUUCUUUGCCAAAUUGAUCUCAUAUGUCAUUAAUGACCCUAUGAGCUCCUCUAUAGGUAGCUUGGUCAAGUCUUUUGCUUCUUGAAUUGUGGUGACCUUUGUAUGCCACUUUGAUGGGAGUAACCUCAAUAUCUUCAUCACUUUUUCGGAUUCCUUAUAGGUCUUUCCCAAAGCUUCAAGACCAUUGACAAUAUUGGUGAACCUAGUGAUCAUCUCAACAAUAGUCUCAUUUUCUUUUAUCAAAAACAAUUCAUAGCUAUGAAUAAGUAAAUUUAUUUUUGACUCUUUUACUUGAUUUGUUUCUUCAUGAGUUAUUUCAAGCAAUCUCCAAAUUUCUUUAGCCGAUUUGCAUUGACAUAUUAUAUUAUAUUCAUUUCUAUCCAUAGCACAUUGCAAAGUAAAAGCGACCUUUGCAUUUAAUUGAAAAAUUCUUCUAUCAAGCUCAUUCCAUUCUUGCUUGGGUUUUGGAACCAAGAUUCCAUCAACUAGUUUUGUAGGAAAAGUUGGGCCAUCUUCAAUGACGUCCCAUACGUCUAAAUCGGUUGAUUGUAAAUACCAAGUCAUUCUAGUUUUCCAAUAGGGAUAGUUGGUUCCCGUAAAAAAUGGAGCUCUAUGUUUUGUAAAAUUUUCAGUUUGACAUAAGCUUGAUGGAAUAGUCAUUUCCUCUUAGACAAUUAAGUCUUAAACGCGAGGUCUUGAUCUGAUGCCAAUUGAGAAAAUAAAUAUUAUACUUAAAUGAGAAAAACACCCAAGAGGGAGGUGAAUUGGGUUUUUAAAAAAAAAAUUCAACACAACAAAUUCAAGCACAAUAGAAGCAAAAAUAAAAAGGUAGAGUUUAGAGAAAGCAAACUCAGAUUUUAUAGUGGUUCGACACUUCCUUACCUACGUCUACUCUCCCCAAUCUCAUAACCGAGUGAGGGUUCCACUAACUUGAAGCUUCAACUAAGCUUUCAAUCUCCUUUACACUUGGAUUUUGGCUCCAAUGGGCUUUUACACAAUCUCUUCAAGAUUCAACUCAAUUGAAGCCUUUAACACUCACUUUUUACAAGAAUGAAUCCCUCAACCUAGCUCAAUGAUAGCUCAAAUACAAAUCAAAGCUAGGAUGAAACACAAAGGUGCACUAAAGGAUAUGCAAGUGUAGAUUUAAUGCACCAAGAAAGAAAUGAGAGCUUUUAAGGCAAGAACAAGUGGGUAGACAAUUGAAUGCAAGUGUUUUCUAUGUCAUAAAUGAAGUGGAGCUCUCAAUUUAUAAGUUUCUAACCUCGGGAGCUAAGAAAAACUAAAAGCAGCCUCAAUCAGUCGAGCUGGGGGUUGACCGAUUCACUAGCCAUUGGAGCAUUUAAUGCUUUGACAGGUUACCAUUGCCUCAACCAGAGGUUGACCGGAAAGGAGGAUACCUCGAUUGGGAAGAGAAGGCUACUGGAUGAGAGAGAGUUUUUUUUAACACUCCACGACCGGACCUCCAUGGAACAAGGGCAAUCAAUCGACUGGUUCCCUGGCCGGUUGAGCCGGUUGGCCAAUUCCUCAAUCGGUUCAGCCCUUUGGCCUCGAAAACCUAUAUUUCUCAAUUCUUUUCUUUUCUAACACUUAGGCAAGUUCUUUAGGUAAAUUAAUAUGUCAAUUUUGAAAUGUUUUGCCUAAUGUACAUUUGAUAAAACUCGAGUUUUAAUGAAAUUAUAACUUUAAAGAAUAAAUCGAGUUUUCCAAAGAUGUAUGAAAAGAUAUGUAAAACCUAAGUGCACCAAUGCAUUCAUCUUACAUUUGUUUCCUAUGAUUAAAAGUCUUCCAAAUGUAUCAAUUUUGAAUCCAUUUGGUCAUUUGAUGAAUUUCCAAAUUUAUACCUGAGAUUCUUUACAAUUCAAACCAAUUAGUCACUUAACCAUGGUUUGUUAUCAUCAAAACCUGAUUAAGAGAACCCUUGAGCUAACAGAUAUAAAUGAAAGAAAAUUGAUCUUAAUAUAAAAGUUUGGCUUAAUUAAUUAGAUAAAAAGAAACUAGGAUUAAGGUGCACUAAGAUGAAAUGCAAAUUUUUGGCUCAAAGUGCACUUAAAAUAUUUUUUUAACGGCUUGAUUAAUGAUUAAAAAAUUGUUUGAAACAAAGAUCUCUACAAUAAAUGAAGUAUAGAAGCCUUACAAAGGAGUUGCAUAGGUAAACUGGCUUAGGCACAGUUUAUGUUAAUCGAUUGAUCUAGAUGGUCAUCUUGUUACUUUACUAUUUGUAAUAGGUGUUAGGAUAGAACACUUAAAAAUAUGACAUGAUAUAACAAAAUAAGAUUUUAUUAAUAUAUGUAUUAUGAUUUCCAUUUUCACUCUUCUAUCCUUGAUUGCCUUAAUUAGUUAUCGAAACAUUUAGGCCUACCCUACUUGUGUCAUACAUCAUUAAUACAACCCUUAAAAGCAUGACAUGAAGUGACAAAUUCAAAAUUUAUUAUUUAUUUAAUGAUAUUUCAAUUUUACUUGUAUUUAUCCUUAUUUUAUGCAUUAUAUCUUAUGAACAUUUUGGCCUAACAUUUCUUGUAUUGUAUAUGACUUGGGUGUAUUAAGAGUUAUGCGAGAAAUCCAAGUUAUGGGUUCUUUAUAAGUAGAAGUUUUGUUCAUAGCCGGUUCAUAGAUUUAAGCAAUCCAAUUGAGGUUGUAGUGUGACUAAAACUCAAAUCAUACAUUGGGAUGACUCUAUAAGAGCUUAUUUUAGUGUGCUUGAGGAACUCAUAACAAGCCCACUUAUUCAAUUUGUUGUUAAUGCCUUAGAAAAAUUCUUUUUGAUGGGUUUUGUAAGAUUUAAAGGCAUGUUUGGCACAUUUUCAGCACUUUAUAGAGAAAAAAAACACUUAAAUGAGGACACUAUCACCAUAAGUACACUUUAGUCUGAUUGGAAUCCCCAAUAAUGCACUAAGAAAAACUCUUUUUAGAUUGCACACUCUAUGAGCAGUAGUCCAAUUUGUGCACUUAAGAUUGUGCACCUUUAAAUGGAGACUUGGAUUGCACACUGAAAUAGUUAAUCUACAAUGCACACUCCUUAUUGCACACUGAAUGGUUACUGAUUAGAUUACACACUUAAAUGCACUCAGGUGAAUAACACACCUCGCUUAAGUGACUUAACAAUUACACACCAUUUUAGUGUGCCAAGAAAAAAGUGCACCUUACUAUCUUAGUCUACAUAAAACUCAUAACAUGCAUCAUUCAUAAGUGUGCUAUUGAGUAAUAAAGUUAGCACAACUCAACUAUUAAGAUAGAACCCUUAAAAACAUGACAUGGUGUAACAAAUUCAUUAUUCAUUUAAUGAUAUUCUAAGUUCACUUUUAUCUAUCUUAUUCCAUGCAUUAUUCUCUAUGAGCAUUUUAGCCUAACAUCUCUUACCAUUGUAAAUGACUUAGAUGCAUUAAGAGUUGCACGAAAGAUCCAAGUCAUGGUUCCUUGCAAGUAGAUGAUUUGUUCACAGUCAAUUCGUGGAAUUAGGCAAUCCGUUUGAAGUUGUAGUGUACUACCUUUUAAUUGGAGAGAUGGUUGGCCUUGACCAUCAAGAUGGGGUUCCCAUGGUGAUUGCACUAUUAUGUAAGGUCACAAAUUGGAUGGGAACUAUGGUGAGUCAUAAUAUAAGACUAUCGAGUAGUCAUAACUUCACCAAGCUACUAUAUUGUAUUGUUUCUCAACCUUGAGAUAAUAUUGAAUUUGUUCAGAAGUUAACAAUGACUUUAACCUAUGAGUGAGAUCUUAAAGUGAUCAUAUAUUCCUCAUGAAUUGGGUUAUUAUUGAUGGAAGCUAGGAAAAGGUAUUCUCAAUAGAAGCACUAUGAUAUCUCAUGGACUUUGAGAUAAUGUGUGUCUUUUAGUGAUUUUAAGGAUGUGUGAUCAUGAAAUCUAUGGGUUUGUAGAAAUUCCUUUAGUGGAAUUUGAUAUAUGCUCUUAAUGAGCUAGAAUAUGUCAUUUGAUCAUAUAAUAGAAGGAUUUGUAACUCAAGAAUGGUAGAGGCAGUCUUGAAAGAUUGAUAGUUUUCACUUUGUUAGAUUAUAGAUGACUAGUUCAUGGACCUGAGUACUUGGUGUCUCGUUGUAAUAUAAAUAGAAAAUUGGAGUGUAGUUGACUCUCUAUAUUGAGAUGUUGAGUCAACUUCAAAAUUAGAUUAUGAGGGAAUUAGUAUUAUUCUAUAGGUCCCAAUGGUCUUAGUUAGAACUCAUAUUCCUUAAUGACAUGGUUUAUAGAUUAUAUUUUGGUAUACUGAAGGAGUAUAUAGGAACAUGAGCGUCGUUUGAGUAUUGUAUUGCAGACCCUAAGAGAUAAACGAUUGUAUGUUAAAUUGAAUAAGUGUGAGUUUUAGUUAGAUAGAGUCUCUUUCCUUGGGUAAGGCAUGUGGUAACCAAGGAUGACAUCUCAAUUGACCUUAGAAAGAUAAAUGUUGUAGAAAAUUGGUGGGGACCUAGUAUUAUGAUUGAGAUUCAAAGUUUCUUGAGACUUACUAGUUAUUAUUGGUGGUUCGAGGGGUUCUCUAAAAUUGCCUUACCUUUGACCAAGUUGACUCAGAUGAGAUUUAAGUCUAAGUAGUAUGAUGAUUAUGAACAUAACUUCUAGGAGUUAAAGAGCAGAUUAGUAAUAGCUCAUAUUUUGACUACUCCUUCAUGUUCAAGAGGAUUUGUGGUAUAUAGUGAUGCCUUUCAUCAAGGUUUGAGGUGUGUUCUUUUGCAACAUGGGAAAAUUGUAGCUUAUACUUCUAGAUAGUUGAAGCCUUAUGAGCAAAACUACCCCACUCAUAAUCUAGAGUUAGUUGCAGUGAUUUUUGUACUUAAGAUUUGGAGACAUUUUCUUUUUGGUGAAACUUGUGAGAUAUUCAUAAAUCAUAAGGUUUUGAAGUCCAUAUUAGAGUUCUAGACUCAGGAAAACUUGUGGCGAAUUUCAAAAUACAACCAAACUUGGUUAAGAGAAUUAAGACCAUACAAAAAAAUGAUUUACAAUUAGUGUAACUUAUGGAAGUUAAGAAGGGCAAUAAGCUUAACUUGGUUUUAUCUAAUGAUGGGAUAUUGAGAUUUAGGACUAAACUUUGUAUUAUAAAUGAUGAAGACUUAAGAAGGGAGCUUUUGAAGGGAGCUUUUGAAGGAAGCUCAUUGUUUUAGGCUUGUAAGAUUUUAACCCUUAGAUUAUUAUUUUAGAUUUUUUAAUUAGUUUUGAACUCUUCAACAUUUUUUUUAGAAAAUUUCAAUUUAGAUUAGGGUUAUUUAUUUAAUUUUUAGAUCAAAAUAUUGGAAAUUUAUGAAUAUAGGUUGUUUUAUUGAUGGAAAUAGGGGAAUUCCAAAUAUUCAAAUGAAUAAAUCUAAACUAUGAAAAAAAAAUCAUAGAUUAUAGGAUGUGAAGAAAAAAAAAAAGGUAGCGUGACUUUUGGAAGUGUAAAAAAUAAAUAAAUAAAUAAAUAACUUUGUGGUUGUGCGUAUAUUGCAACUUGAAUAAAAAAAAAAGGUUGUGUGGCAUAAAUAAUGAAGCAAGGUUUGUAUUUUGGGUAUUAUUUAGGAUGUUAAUGUGUUGAUGAUUCUUGUAUAUGAGAUUACUCCUUCAAUAGCAAAAUAUAUAUUUAUUGCAUUUCGUAUGCUAAAAAAAAAAUCCCAAAUAAGUUAAGCCUAGAUAAUAAGUCUACAGAUGAACUAAUCAAGUUAAGUUUUUUAUAUGUUAAUCAAAAUAUUUAUUAAACUACACUAUAGUUAAGUUUUAUAUACAAAGAACUUAACCAAGGUUAAGUUAUUAAAAAAUAAAAAUUCACCUGAACUUAACUGAGGUUAAGUCUCAUUGACAAAUAACAAAAUUGUAACUAAGUCCUCAGUUAAAAUAUUCCAAACCUGCUUACAAUAUAAUUAAUUGAAUUGGUAUUUUGAUUUUAGAAGUAGUUAAAUUUUUUGUAAUGUAUUUUAGUUCAUGCAGAAUGUUUGUAACUCUUAAUAUAUUUUCUUAAUGUGAAGCACAAUGUAUGUGACUUUGCAGGCUACCACUUCUUCAAUAAUCUUCAUACAGAAAAUAUGUAAUGAAGAUCACUUCCCAUCUAAGGUGGCUUGCUUAUCCCACAUUAUUGUCAUUGACAACAUAAAGAACUUGAAUGAAACCCAACUAGAGAUGUUUAAAACCUCUUGUUUUGGCCACUUCUUGGGUAUAUAUGAUUUGAAAUAUUUUGAUUAAAUUGUUUAUAAUAUGCUAUUACACCAAUGUGACAUUAAAAAAAAAUGAGAUGUGGAUACUUGUUCACUCAAAAGGAUUGAGAUUUAGUGCGUUGGAGUUGCAUUGAUAAUUGGGUUGAAAUUUGGGAAAUUUUCACAAUUUGACAUAACAUAUUUAAGGAUAAGAGAUCAAUAUUUCAAUAGAAAGAAUAAGAUUCAUAAUGAUCGAUUAGAUGAUGUUUUCAUCGCAUUAUGUAAGAAAGGAAAGAGAAUGAACACAAAGAAGACAAAAAAAAAAAGGCAAAGUUAAAUGGGAAAUCAAAUCUUGAUAAAGACAUUGUGAAGUUAGCAUUAUUGUACUUUGUUGAGCAUUUUUUACUAGGAAAAGAAUGGAAUAAUUUGAUAGAUUUACAAUGGGUUCAACUUGUUGAUAAUUUAAAGAAGUUCAACAAGUAUCCUUGGGGAAAAUUUUGCUAUGAAAGAACAUUAUUUAGGUUGAAAAGGGCUUUGGACAAAAUACAAUCAAAAUAUGUAGAGAAAAAAAAAAUGGAAUGCAUCGUAUGAAGCAUAUGCACUUGUGGGAUUUCCAUAUGCCUUUCAAAUUUGGGCAUAUGAAGUCAUUCCAUUGCUUGGAAUGAAAUAUGCAAGUCGCAUUGGUAAAAUUUUUCCCAUAAUUUUAAAUUGGACAGGGACUGCAACUCCAAAGCACACUGAGAUUCAAUCAUUAUUUGUAGAGUCAAAUGUGAGUGACAUCUUAAUUUUUGCUUAUACUUACUUUCUUAUUUAUAUAACUAUAAUCUUAUUAUUAACUACUUUCUUUAUAUAUUGAAUUAUUGGUUAUCUUUACAUUCCAACUCAUUCCCACAUUAGAAUAGCGUGAACAAGAGCAUGUGAAAUGUUUUGAAUUCGAAGCUCAGUUGGAUGAUGCCUUACAAGAUGAUGUGAAUGAUUGGGAUAAAGAUGAAGAUCGUGAGGAAGUUAAGGCAUAUAUUGCUGCAGUAACAACAACAAUGAAAUGUGGAAAAAAAGGUGAUAGUUCUAAAUUACCUUCAUUCAAGGUAACUAAAGUGAAAGUUAUUAAUACUAUUUCAGUAUAUAUGUUUAAGAAUGUUUGAAUAAUGUUAUAAUAAUUUUUCUUAUGUAAAGGGAUUGUUUAUGAUGUUCAUUAACUUUCAAGAAAAGACAAAAGCAGAUUUUAAUAAAGUCAAAACAUAAUUGAAAGAAAUAGGAAGCAAGAUUGAUGGUUUGAGUGAGCUAUUGUUGGAUGUUAGUAACAUGUGUUAGAUUCUUAAUUUUUUUUUUACAAUACCAACAAUGCAUUUUAAAAUAUAUUAAUAUAUUUUUAUGCAAUUUCAUAUUAGAAACCUAAGAAGUGAGCCAUAUAGUGCUACAAUGGGGAAUGAUAUGACGAUAAACUUCAAAUCAAAGUUAAGAAAAUUUGAAACAUCGAGAAAAGACAGUAGGUAAGAGGCUUCAGUGGAUGAUGCACUAAAUGAAACACUAGUUAAUGUUUUUCCACGAUCUUAUAUUCUUUAUAUUUUUUGAAUUCCUAACAAUGCCUUUCCGAAUAUAUUUAUAUAUUUCUAUGCAAUUUCAGGUAGGAAAACCAAGUAAUGAGCUAUAUAUUGCAACAAUGCGAAAUGAAACAGCAUUGGACUUCAAAUCAAAGUUAGAAAAAAUUAAGACAUCAAGAAAAGACAAUGACAAGGAGGCUUUGAAGGAUAACCCACCUGAUGCGACAGUAGUUCAUGUUUUCCCACAUCAACUAUCAUCGAAUAUCUUUAAACGAAGAAGAGAGGUAAAGAAAUCUCAUCUACUAUAGCACCCAUUUACAUAAUUCACUAAGAGAAGGAAGUUGUUAAUGAGUAAGACUAACAUAACAUUAUCAACCUUUGAUCCAUUGCAGCCACCAUCAAUGGAGGCAAAGACAGCUUAUACAGAAUAUAUUAAUGAUGAGAUUGAGAAAGACUAAGUUAUCUACAAUAUUGACUCAAUUAAUUUUUUAUAUGUAAUUUAUGAAGUUGACAAAUGAUUUAUUUCCUUAUAUGACAUAAAGGUUUAAAGUGAACAUCGAGUAUACAAAGGUGGACCAAAAAUGGUUUCAGAAAAUAAUGCUUCCUGGAGAAUGGCUUAAUGACUUGGUUUGUGACUAUUGCCUACAUUAUUCAUUAAUAUACAAAAUUUGUUGGAUUACUAAUUAUUAUUCCUUAUAAUUUUCAGCAUAUUAAUGUCACUUUAUACUUUUUUCAGAAAAUGGGGAUACUAAACUCUAAUGUGUUUACACAAAAAUUCGUCACCACUGACACAUUAUUUUUGGUAUGCAUAUUAGUACAUUUUAACUUUGUUUCGCAUUUUUUUUUAGUUAUAUUCACCAUUUUUUAUUAUUUUUUCCGUAUGUGGCAAAAAGUAGAUGGUUGUUGGAGGAUGAAUUAAAAGACAUGGAACAAAUACAUUUUACCGGAAGAUGACAUCCUCAUCGAUUAUGUCAUGGGUAUUUAUCCUAGGCCUUCUUUGAAAUGGUCUAAGGUUGAUGUCAUAUAUGUUCCUAUCAAUCUAAGGAACACACAUUGGGCAUUGGGAGUUUUCCACUUUCGUUGUAGGAUAAUUUACAUUUAUGACUCUUUAAAGUCAAUUAACAAACCUAAUAGAUUGAAAACACUCGUCACACCCAUAGCAAUGUUGUUACCAUCUAUCUUAAGUGCUAUAAAAUACUAUGAGGAGAAUAGUGACCCCAAGGGUGAUAAAGAGUGGGACAUUGAGAGAUUGAACAACAUUCCACAACAAACAAACAAAAGAGUAAGUACAAUAUUUUCCAUACCAACACACAUAUUUCAUGAUAUAUACAAUAAUAUUUAAUAUUGUUAACAUCACAUUUUUUUGUGUUCAUGCAGUAGUGAUUAUGGUAUGUUUUUUUUUUUUUUUUUUAUCAAAUUUUCGGAAUACCUGAUGUACAACCAUCCAAUGGAUAUACUAACAGGCGAGCGGAUGGAUUGGCUUUGUGAGAAGAUGGCAAUGAGUUAUUUUUCCAUAAAGAACUUCCUAUGUGAUCCUACUAUUGUAAAUGAAUUGUAAUUGGAUAGUAGAAGAUGUUUCUAUGUAAUGACAUUGAAGUUUUUUGUUUAGAAAAUUCCUAUGUUAUAGCACGUAUUUAAACAAUCACAUGUUUUUUCAUACAUCCAAAGAAAUGAAUGGUUGCAAUUUUUUUUAUUUUUUUAUUUUUUAUAAAUGUGACUGCAUUAUGAUUGUUAACAAGUUUGAAUUUAUUAUAGUAAGCAUAAUAAUAUAAACUUAUAUUUCAAUGUAGAGCUCAUAUUUUUUUACCUCAAACUUAACGAGUGUUAAGUUACUUGUAAAAUAAACUUAACCCUAGUGUAGUUCAGGUGAAUAUCCUUAAUUAAAACUUAACUCAUACUAAGUUUUUUAUUAAAAAAAACUUAACUUCAGUUUAGUUUAGGACAUUUGUUUUAAUUCAAACUUAACAAGUGUUAAGUUACUUGUAAAUUAAACUUAACCCUAGCGUAGUUCAGGUAAAUAUCCUCAAUUAAAACUUAACUCCUGCUAAGUUCUUUAUUAAAAAAACUUAACCUUAGUUUAGUUCAGGACAUCUGUUUCAAUUCAAACUUAACAAGUGCUAAGUUACUUGUAAAUUAAACUUAACCCUAGUGCAGUUCAGGUGAAUAUCCUCAAUUAAAACUUAACUCCUAUUAAGUUCUUUAUUAAAAAAACUUAACUUCGGUUUUGUUUAGGUAAAUUUUUUUUAACUGAAACUUAACCACUGUUAAGUUUUUUUGUAAAAUAAACUUAACCCUAGUAUAGUUCAGUUGAAUAUCCUCAAUUAAAACUUAAGUCUUACUAAAUUCUUUAGUAAAAAAACUUAACUUCACUUUCAUUCAAGUAAUUUUUUGUAACUUAAACUUAACCAUUGUUAAGUUCUUUGUAAACGAAACUUAACCCUAGUGCAAUUUAUGUGAAUAUUCUCAAUUAAAGUUGUAUAUAUGGAUAAUAUCAACAUACAUAAUGUGUCUGAUCUUAACAUCAAUAAAAGAUUAAAACAUCUCCAAAUAUGUAUGAUCAAAUAUUAAUGAGACUAAUAUUCCAAAAAAAAUAAAGAGUUCACUUGUCAUUUCAAAUGAGUUGAUAUUGAGGGAUGAAUUUAAACUUCAUUUUUAAGCUUUAAGUUCAUCGCUCAAUUAAAAGGGAAUGAAUCAAAGUACAAUUACAUGUUUUGUGCUCCUAUUCACAAUAUACAAAAAAUUACAAUAUCAAAUCUUUUAUAUCCCCAAUCAUCAUCUAUAAAAAAACAACAAAAAAAUUCAUCAUAAAAUUAGCUUAGUGACAGUUUCAUUCAUUCUUUGAUUGUAAGGAGCAAUCUUACAUUCCUAAUUCAGUGUGUCCACUAUUAUCAUUCUGAUAAUGCAAGAGGAUUGGUCGCUUGCAUGACUUUCGGUUACAACCAUAAUCACCACAUCGACCACAACGUCGCUUGCGUUUACUCUCUCCACCUGAAGAAAUUCCUUCCUUACUUGGUCUUCCUACUGACCGACUUGUUUUCGGUGGUAAUACAACUCUAUUUCUUAUUUCAUCAGGUAUCACCCAAUCCCUUUGAUGUCCAGGAUGAUAGAUGGACUCAGCAUAUAAAGAUAAUAAUGAGUUCAUUGUGUAAUAUUUGAAGCAUAAAGGAUAACAUUACAUAUGUGCAUAUCUACAAGCAACAAUAACAUGUGAACACGAUAUGUGAUCAAGAUCAAAACGUCGACAUGUGUAUGAAUGAUUAUGUAAAUUCACAUGAUCACUAACACCAUUAUAUUUAACAUUAUACUUCAUCGAGUUGAUUGCUUCAACUUUGUAUGUUAAUGAUGUAUUGAACCUUAUACGAUGCUUUCCAUCAGCCCAUGUUGUUAGCUCAAUUGUCAUUGACAAUGCUUGUUGUUUAUGGUUUGCAAACCAUUUUUGAAGUAAAUUUCUUAACUCUUCAACUAGUUGCAAAAUAGGAAGAUCUUUUGCAUCUUUUAACACAAUAUUGAGACUUUCAACAAUCCCAGUGGUCAUAAUGUUAUAUUUUUUUUUUUUGCUAGAAUGUGAACGUGCCCAUCGCUCAACACCUGCAUCUAUUAUAUAUGUGGCUGUUCUCGAAGAAAUCAUUUGUAGUUGCCUAAAUAUAACAUUGAAUUCUGAAAAAUGGUAUAUAUAAGCAACAUCAUGAAACAACUUAUGGACUUUGACAUUUUUAAACUUUGUUUUGAGGUUUUGCUUCAUGUGAUAAGUGCACACACCAUGGCUUGCAUGAGGAAAAACUUUUCGUACAACUUUUUCAAUGUUGUUGUGACGAUUUGAAACCACCACGAGAUCAUCAACAUGGCCAAUUGCUCCAUGCAAUUUUUUUAGGAAACAUUCCCAAGAAGCAUCAUUUUUCAGAAUCACCAAUUCCAAAACAUAAAGGGUAUAUCUAAUUGUUUCCAUUCUUACAUGAAGCAAUAAACAAAGUUCUUAAGUACUUUGCCUUAAAAAAUGUUCCAUUGAUUGUAAUGACAUACCUUAUUGAUGUACGAAACCUAGAAAUACAUGCACCAAGUGCCAUGAAAAAAAAUACUUAAAUUGAUUGUUGUGAUCAAUAACUAUAUUAGUAAUGGUGCUAGGAACUUUUUGCUCCAACACAAAACAAUAAGAUGGUAAAGCACUAUAGGACUCAUCUGGUGAUCCUCUAAUAGAACUUAAAGCAAAUUCUCUAAUUUUCCAUGCCUUAUCAUAACUUAUCCCCACACCGUACUUGUUUCGAAUAUCAGCUACAAUGUCUUUUGGUCGAUAUUAAUGACCAACCCCUUGAUAUAUUUCUCUUAUGCUUUCACCAAUCAACCAACUACUUGCAUGACGAUGAUCACGAGAUAUCAUAUCCAAACUACAAGUGUGUGUUGAAUGAUAUUUCCUUAUUUGAAAUAGAUCAGAAUUUCCCAACUUGAUUGCACAAAGUCGCCACUUGCAUUCUUUAUCAACACAUCCAACAUGUAAUAACUUGGUCGAAGAUUUUAAUGUUUUGAAUUGAAACUUUCUUUUCAAAGCAAUCAUGUACGACUUCUUCUGCAAUUCUUUCUUAUUGGAGUAUAUUUGGUGCUCUUCCAUGUAGUCAUCACCAAUUUCACUAUAACCAACUAUAAAUGGUUCUUCUAUGCUUUGUUCUGCAUGACUUUCAUAUUCCAUUACUGCCUCUUCCAUUACAUCAAUUUACAUUACUUGGCUAUCCUCAUUCAGGUUGACAUUCAUUCCACUAUCUUCAUCAUCCUUGUUCAUAUUCAAGUUAUGAGAAUCAAAACAAUUAAGUAGAUCAUAGCUCAACCUUGUUCUAUUUUCAUCAUCAAAACCACUCAAAGAUUCACUACUAUAUAUGAAUAUCGGGUCCAUAUUGAUUUCUUUCUCAACCUCAGAUAAAGUAUGAGAGCUAAAAUCAGUGUUGAUGAUUGAUUCAUACUGAUGAUUGCCAUUUUUUUUCUCUAUUGUGAUACAUAAUGGAACUUGCAACUUACCAUCAGUACAAUUUAAAUGAAUGAAAAAUUUCACAUCUCCAUCAUCUCUUAGUUGUAUAGGAGUGGUUGGUAUAUUGCCAUUGAAUACAUACUUCAUCGAAAGAUUGUGCUCGGUUGGAUCUACUUUCAAAAUGUGACAAAACAAUCUUCAAUAAUUCUUCAUAUGUUGUAGCCUUCUUAAGUUUAAUACCCUUACCUUGGUAGCCUUCAAAGUAGUACAUAUUUCCAUUUUGCACCCAAUCUCCUUCAUAAAGAAACAUUAUUCCCACUUCAUCAAUCACUGUAACAAAAAUAAACAAAUAAAUUGAAUUAUUAAUACAAAAAACAAUAUUAAAAUAAUAGUUAUUUGGAUAAGUAACUCAAUCCUACAAAGUUGUCAAUUAACAUGUUGAAUUGUACUCAACUAUCUUCAAGUUUUAUAUAUAAAAAACAUACGAACUUUACUUUUUUCAUACAAAUUUUUUUAACAAAAAAUUUCACUUAUGUUUACUCUAAAAUUUUCAUUUUUUUCUUUACAACAAAAUAAUGUUGAGAAUAGCAAAACUAAGAUAGUUUUUUUUUUUUUUUUUUCCCCAAAUGGGUUUACAUACUUUCAUUUGACCUCGCCAUAUGUUUUUCUUUAAUCUGCUUUGCUUCUCUUACCUCAGUUUUAAUGGUGGAUUGUAGUAAUGGUGUAUAGGGACGUAUUCACAAUGUUGGUGAGAGAUAUGCAGACAGAUGUAAUACCGAUGAGACAGGUAAAACUAAAAUGUUUUGUUUUUGAAGAGAUAUCAUGUCUUUUGGUAGGGGAUCUUACUCUUCUAUGUUUCACUACUUUUUUCUACCUCUCUUAAUUCAAUUUUAUUGGUGGGUCACAUAAAUGGUGUAUAGGGAUGUACUCAUAGUGUUGGAGAGAGAGAUGUGGUACCGAUGAGAGAUAAAACUAAAGUUUUAUGCCUUUGGAGGAUAUCAUGUUUUUGGAGGGGGAUCUUAUAUGUUUUUGAAGGGAAAUAAAUAAGGGUAAAAAUGUCCAAAUUAGGUCAUCUCUCAAAAUAAUUAACUAGUUAGGUUAUUUUUACAAUUUUACCUAUAUUUUGAGUCACCUAUCCAAAUAACCCAACUUUUAAUUAUGCAGUUACACUAAUUUGGAUUCAGUUCUACUAAUCUGAAUUCAAUAAGAAUUUAGAAAAAGAAAAAUGAUCUUGAAUUACGCUUGGUCUGCAUGAUUUGAAUUGGAGGUUGGAUCAAAUUGGGCUCAAAUGAUCAAAUUUGUCGGAUCAUGCGGAGCAACCCGCCCAACUUGCUGCGUAGGUAGAGACUGGGAGCUACAAAACACUCAAAGCCUCUCUAUAAACCCUUGUCACCUACCAUUUCCAGAAAGCGCGGGAAAAUGGCUGCGGCCGGAGCUUCAGCGUCCGGGUUGAUCCUUUCACGCCCGGUCACCUUCGUCACCGGCAACGCUAAAAAGCUCGAGGAGGUCCGAUACAUCUUGGGCCAGUCCAUACCCUUCAACUCCCUGAAGCUCGACUGUACUCUCUCUAAAACCCCAUUUCUCUUAACAUACCUCCUUCUCUCAUCUCUUAAUUUUCUUUGUUUUUUUUUUUUUUUCUCUUGGAUUAUUGCAUCAGUGCCAGAGCUCCAAGGAGAGCCCGAAGAUAUCUCCAAAGAAAAGGCUCGAUUGGCUGCAAUUCAGGUUUUUCUACAUAUACUUAUUUAUAAAACGUGUGUCAUUAUGUUUUUUCUUUAGUCUGGAGUUUGAAAUGUUUUUAUGUAAUUUUGUGAAAGGUGAAUGGGCCAGUGCUGGUGGAAGACACCUGCCUCUGUUUCAAUGCCCUUAAGGGUCUCCCAGGUAGUGUAUGCACAUUUUAUUUCUUAAUUUUUGUGUUUGAUUUGUGUGCUUUUUGCUUUCUAAUUUUUGUUUUUUUGGGUGAUUGGAACUAAAUGCAGGGCCUUACAUGUAAGUUCUAUUUCAUUCUUGUCCUUGUUUUAAGGUGAAUUUAUUCUCUUUCUUUAUUUUAUGGUUUUUUAUUUUUCUCUAUUUUGCAUGGUUUGUGAUUAUUAUUAUUGUAGGAAAGAAGGUCGGUUUUCCAAAUUGAUGUAAAACAGCACAGAUGGUGUUAUAGAAAUUUAUUUAUUUUUAUUUUUUAUUUUAUUUUAUAUAAAAAAAAACAGAAAUUAUCCUUUAAUCCCUGCUGUGAUCCCUUUCAGUGUACGGUUAAUAUUGAGCACUUCUAUAGUUUGGCUUAGUUAUAGCUGUAGGCUAGUGCAUUAGCUCCCAUGUCUUCGGCGUUUAAGCACAGAGGUAUUAAAAUAUUCCAUUAAGAGGUUAUUGCGAAGGAGCUUAUUUCAUCUAAUUCUAGCAUCUUUUCAUUCUCUAUCCACUUGAAGGUAUAAUGAACAGAUUUUUGGCAUCUUUAAUUCAUUGGUUCCUGGUGGUCAGAGAUUUGAUGGAUUCAUGCAGUACUAGUGUGAACAUUUUCCCGAGCACUAUGGAGUGCUGUUGCAAUAAUAUUAUUUUGAUUUCUAUGUUUCAGUCAAUAAUGGCUUUCCAGUUAAUGUCAGAGUUAAGAUGUCAUUUAAGGGUAGGAAUUUCAAAGUUAUAUUGAAUGGCAUAUUAAUUCAAGGAUUGGUAGUAGGUGUUCUUUUGGGUGAAGGUGGAGGAGCAUCUAGUUGUGCUCCGAUGCUUGAUUGGUUGGACAAAUACUGGUUUGCCCUUUGCAUGGAUUCAACUAAAGAAGAUAAAACAUGACUAGUUUCUGAAAUGGACAAAUCAUUUGGUUUAAGUUAUCACCAAAUUGGACAAAACCAUUAUGGGUUUCCAUCACAAAGCAAGUCUGAGGAACUUCCUAAAUGGUGGGGUUUGAGAAAGAAGAGAUUGUUUGGAUUUUGGACCAUUUGAAGAAGGCUAAGGAGAUGGACAUGUUUUUGGGAUUUAAUAGCAAAUUUAGAGGAAAGACUAGAGUGUGCUUUUAGAGGUGAAGAUGAAAUCCCCAAUGGCAGAUUUUGUGAAUCUCAGUUCAUGAAAAGCCGGAAAAAGCUUCUAAUGAUUAUUUUUUCUCUUUUAUGGGUAAAAGGCAAUAUAUUAAAAAAGAAACUUCCAAAAAGGUGCCCCAAAGUACAUAGGAAGUAUAUAAAGGAUGCUUAAGAGCGCCUCAAAAAAGAAAACGGGGAACAACAAAAAGUAGUACCCACUCAAUCAAAGCCCAACCAAUUUGCAAAAUAAAUAAUGGAAGGACUAAAAACUAUAUACACCUUAACUCAAGCCCAAAGUUUACAAAGGAAAGAAUGUUUAAGCCUUUGGACCAAAUGCCCCUCAUUUUCAAAAGCCCUACUGUUUCUUUCCUUCCAAACAAUCCAGAAAAGGUAUAGAGGAGCAGCUUGCCACACUUUUUUCCUCUUCUUACCCAUAGAAGAACCAUAUUACCCUGAUAACGCCUCUCUAACUGAGAAAGGAAGUACCUGCGACACCUUAAAAAGAGAAAAUAAGUGCCACAAAAUCCUUGCCAUAUCGCAAUGCAAUAGAAUGUGCUCAAGUGUCUCUUCCUUUGAGAGACAUAGGUAACAUCUGUUGGCCAACGACUACCCUCUUCUUUGAAUUCGAUCCAAAGUUAAGACUUUAUUCCAAGUAGCCUCCCAAGCAAAGAAACGCACCAUCGACAACACCUAUGAGUUAUAAAUUGCACUUGCAAGGAAAUACCUUGUCUUUCUGGUUCCAAAGCCUUGUAUAGAAAUUUGAUAGUAAAUUUACCAUAUUUUGAUUUUGUUCAAACCACUUGAUCAUCCACCUUCCUACACACCCUCCUUCCUUGUAGUCUUUGGAAAGAAUUCUCCACAACAAUCACCUCCCAAUUGUUGAGCCAACCAAAGAAUUUGGGAGCCUAUACUCCCUCUUCUGAAUGGUUUCAAACAUCCUCCACCCAAACCUCCUUGGAUGAUGCUAUAGCAAAUAAGGAGGGAAAAGUGACGCACAACGGAUCGUCACCACACCACCUAUCCUUCCAACAUCUCACCUUCCAUUCCCUAUAGAAAAUGCCAUAUUGCCACCCAAGGUAUACCAUUCUUUCCCGAUGGCUUUCCACAACCCUACUUUAUAACUUCCUCUCACAUCAUAGGAGUGCCACCGUCCCUCUUCUACCCCAUACUUACCACAAAUAACUUGCUUCCAAAAAGCCUCCCUCUCCAUUGGAAAAUGCCACUCCAUUUACAUGGGAGGGCCUUAUUGAGCAACAACAAAUUUCUCACUCUUAAGCCACCCUUUCCUUUAUCUGAGCAAAUAAUAGACCACCUUACUAAAUGAGGCUUCCACACAGAAGUCCCUCCGCCCCAAAGAAAAACCUUUUGGAUUUGCUCCAGUCUCAAUCUGACUCUUCUUGGCAUACAAAGCAAAGACAUAAAAUAAAUAGGCAUAUUGGAAAGGGUGUUGUGAAUCAAGGUAAGCCUGGCCCCUUUAGAAAUAUACUGUCUUUUCCAAAUCAAUAAUUUUUUUUGAAGCCUCUCCUCCAUGCCGUCCCAAAUUGCCACAGACUUGAACUGUGCCCCUAAGGGAAGACCCAAAAGUAAGAAGACAGGAGCGCACCAAUCUUUGCAAUCAAACUCUUACACCAGCUCUUCUAAAUUCUCUACUCUCCUUACUAGAAUGCUUUUUUCCAGAUUUGCUCUCAACCUCGACAUGGCCUCAAACCACAUAAAUAACCAACUUAAGUAAGUCAUUUGAUCUAUAGAAGGCUCACAAAAGGCUAAAGUGUCAUCAACAAACAACAAAUGAGAGAUUUCCCCUCUCUUUUUUCCUUUACCUCUGAUCCUCCAACCGGAUAAAAAACCUCCCUCCUUAGCUCUCUUUAGCAAACAACUGAGGGCCUCCAUGGCAAUCACAAAGAGAUAAGUGAAGAGAGGGUCCCGCUGCCUCAAACCUCGAGAGUUUUGGAAAAAACUUGAAGGAGUUUCGUUGACAAGGAUUGAGAAUCUCAUUGUAGAAAUACACCACCGAAUCCAACUGAUCCACUUAACACCAAAACCCAUAUUUUCUAGCAACAAAGUUAAGAAGUUCUAGUUAGCAUGGUCAUACGCUUUCUCAUAUCAAGCUUGCAAAGAAUACCACCGCAUUUACCUUUCUGCACCAAAUCAAUAACUUCAUUAGCAAUCAUAGCAGCAUCAAGGAUUUGCUUACCCUCCACAAAUGUAUUUUGGGAGUUGGACACCACCUUGCCCACUACCUUCUUUAGUCUAUUAGCUAACACUAAAAACUUAUGAUGAUUCUAGAAGGUUUAAAUGGCGGCUAGUGGGAGACAUUGAGAGAAUCCCUGUCAUCAUUGAAUUUGCUUCAGUAUUAGGCUAUGGUCUCAUCAUGAGACUCAAUUUUUUCUUUUGAAGAGACCUUCUUUAAAACUCUUUGAUGAGAGAAGAGUCAUUUUAUAGGUUUGCAGGGAACCUACUAACUCAUCCACUCUCAAUGCAUCCACAUUCUUGCUUAUGACAAUUACUUUAGGCUUGAAUUUCUCAAAGAGAGAUUAGAGGAAGAUCAUAAGAUUUUUCUAAGUACCUUGGAAUUAGGUAUUUUCUCUCGCAAGUUAAAACAAUUAACAAUAUCACUCAAGUUACCUAUUAAAAAAAAAAAACACCAAUAUCACUCAUGUUGGUAUAAAAUUGAAAGAAAGUCUCAUCUUCAUUCAUUCUUAUUCUUUCAAAUUGGACACUUAGCAUCCAUAAUUUGGACAACUUCAUAGUGUAAUUACCCUCAUGAGUUACAAUCAAGAUAUCUCAAGUUUCAUUAGUGUAUUUACAUGUUACUAUUCUUUUAAAUUCAUUAAGACUAACACCAUUAAAAAUAAAAUAAAGAGCCUUAGCAUUAGCUUCACUACUUUCAUUAUCAAACUUGUCCCAUUGACUAAAUAAAUCUUUCAUUUUUGUCUAUAGAUCAGGAGGCAGCCACCCAUAUUCCAUUAUAUUCCAAACAUGCUCUCCUUACCUUUUGGAAAAUACUUCUUUUGAACUUUUCAGGAGGUAGUUGUUCUCAUCAAAGAAUGAAGAGCAAUUAAUGGAAGUUCCUACUUUUUAUGAUUGCAUGAUUCAAGAAUCAAUUAGUAGGAAUAAAAAAAUUUAAUGUUUAAAAUUUUAACACACUUUGAUAUCACUUAUGAGUUUGUAUUCUUGAUCAUGAAACAUUUUGAAACUUCCUAGAGGGAGGUGAAUUGAUAGUCCACAAGCAAUCUAUAUUCAUUUUUUAUUUUUAUAUAUGGAAAUCUUUUGAUCUAUCAAUGAGAAUAAGAACACAAUCACAUUAAAGGACCUCGAAUAUAUGCAGGAAAACUACAUAGAAAGUUUCUCAAAAACUUUAUAGAUGUAAAAAAAAAAAAAAAAAACCACAGGUCUCAUGACUGCAGUCAAAUCCAUUAAACCAAAAGGAAUGUACAUAGUUUUACCUAAUGUAGAGGUUUCUACUUCCAAUGGUCUUAUACUGGUGAGCACCCACAUAGUUCCUUCAUGUUGUUGACGCAACAACUCGUGUUUCUUAGUGGAUACCUCAAUCCUGUGUUGAGACUAGUGGAUCGAUGCAUUUUGCUUUUUUGCCAAAAGGACUUUCAAGAAUGCCCUUGAAAUGUUUGAGAGUUGGAGUGCUAAGGCAGAGAGAUGGCUAUGAAUUCACUUGCAUUUUUUUAAUUAAAAACUUGGGUUUUUAUAUCAAAUCCUAGAUGGAUGUUUGGAGAGUUUCUUAAAAAUUCCAACAAAAAUAUUAAAUAUUUGCUUUAAAAAACAAAAGGAUUGAACUAGCAUUUGAACAUCAUGUAGGAGAUGUUUGAAUGUUGGGUGGAAUUUGAACAUCCCAUUAGAGGACAUUUGAACAUCCCAUGGACGUUUGAAGAUCCUCCUUGAUGAUGUUUUAAUGCUUAUAAACAUUUUUGCAUGUUCGACUUCGCUUUUUGAUUUCUCUUAGAAAUUUCGUCUUCUUUAAAUUUAGUAGCAAUUUCUCUUGCUCUAAUACAUCUAAUAAAUAUGCGUACCUUGAAUUUUAAUCGACUUUGAAGUAGCUUGAAAUCCACUCUAACCAGUAAGACCUCAUAAUUUAUGAUACCUCAGAUUUAGUGUAAUAAUGGAACAAAAUUGUCAACUUAAUCUAAUACAUCAACACUAUAGUUCCUUCAGGGCAAGUGUUUAAGGGUGUUACUCUCCCUAGAUCACUGCCUAGUGUCCCCAUGGAGGCUAUUUCCCUUGUGGAAGAACAAACAUUAGAUCUAGGCUCCUUUGUUAGAAGGUUUUCACAUCGAAGGUCUCACAACUUGCAAAAUAGAAAGUGUUUAAUUUAUUUUGGCCACUAUGAAAGUCAUGCUUGUCAAGUAUAGUGAGAAUGGUCUUACCUUAGGUAGUAGUAGUGUAAGGUCUAACGAUAAAGUAUACUUCAGGAAGAAGGACAAACCUAUGAUCACGAGUAAUGACACUUAGGAGGGCUUGUUUGAAAGGUGAAUGGGCUUCUAACUGGUGGUAUGAGAAUCAUAAAUAGGAAUAAUUGAGGAUUGAGGUUAGAAAGAAAAGAAGGGUAGUUAAGGAAUUUCUCCACCAUGAAUCUCUAGGUACAGUGAUGCUUUAGGAAACAAAGAGAGAGAAGUUUGAUGCAAGAUUUGUGGUAAGUGUGUAGACAACUAGGGAUAAGGAAUGGGCUACUCUUCUAGCUUGUGACGCAUUAGGAAGCGUAUUAAUAAUAUAGGACUCAAGCAAAUACAGUUGUAUAGAAUUGGUGUUAGGAUCCUUCUAAAUUUCGGCUAAGCUAGUUUUAGAUGGAUAACAGGUCUUUUGGAUUAUCUCUAUGUAUCGCUCCAAUGAUACCACUAUUAGAAAGGGUUUUUUAGGUGGGUGUAGUGGAUCUUUUUGGUUUAACCUAUCUGAAAUGGUAUGUGUAUGUGUAUGUGUGUGUGACUUUAACCUAUUUGAAUUCAUUAAAGAAAGUGAGUUAAUCGAUCCCCCCCUUAGGAAUGCUUAUUCGCUUGGUCCAAUUUGCAAUCAUCCCCCACUUGCAAGGGAUCAAAUAAAUAUUUUAAUUUUCAAAUGAGUGGAAGCAAAGCUUUCCCCAUAGUCUAAAAGAAGCCUUACCCAAUUUCACCUCUAACUAUUGGUAGAUUGUCUUAGAUACCAAUCAAUUCAAGUGGGGAUCAACUCUAUUUAGGUUUGAAAACAUGUGGUUGCUCACCUAAAUUUCAAGGAAAGAUUUAGCUUAUGGUGGAAAGAGUUUUAGGUUGAAGGGUGGGAAGGUCAUAAAUUCAUGGAAAUGCUACAAUAUGUCAAAUCAAAGCCAUAGUUGUGAAAGGCGCGCCUAGGCUCUAAGCGGCACAACGCGACCCUCCGGCACCUCUCUUGAAGGCAAGCGACACCCCUUCACAAAGAUACCGCUUAGGAGCGCAAGGUGCUCACCUCUAGCAAGGCACAACGCGGCCCACAAGUGUGCCUCAACCCCUUAUUUCCUUCUUCUUCUUCUUCUUCUUCUUCUUCUGGUCUUCUUCUCUGGUGACGAGUUGCAGAGGGAAAAAAGAAGCCCCCCCCCCCCUUUUUUUUUAUUAUUAUCUGAGACCAAAAUGAUGUUGUUUGGUCUGUUCUUUUAAAAUAAUAGGGUUGUGUCGUUUUGGACCUUUAAUUUUAAUUUUUUUUUUAAAGGGUCAAAACAACGUCGUUUUGGCCCUUUUUAUUUUAAAAAGAACAAGCCAAAACGAUAUCGUUUUGGCCCUGUCUUUCAUUCCAACCCCCUUUUUUUGGUUGUUUUCAACCCGACAACACCCAAAACAUUGCCCUAGCCUCUACUAUGCUGUGAAGAAGCGAAGAGAACGAAGAAGAGGAGGAAAAAAUAGAGGAAAAAUAGACGUACCUUUUUGGGACCUUGGUAUUUAAUGAUGUUUUUGAAUUAUGGACAAAUUUCAUGUUUUGGUUUGGAAACUUUGGAUUUGGAUAUGUAUUAGCAAUCAUGAUGCUUUGUUUUUAUGCUUGGAGUUCUUUAUUUUUAUGUUUUUUGUUAAUUAAAUUGAAGUUUUAGAUAAUAUUUGAUGAUUUAUGUGUUUAGGACAAAUAAAUGAUUAUUAAAUUUGAUUAUAUUAUAUAGAAAUAUAUAUGUAAAUUAGGGUGCGUCUUGAGCCUUUUAAAACUAUGAUCAAAACUAAAAGAAUGGAACAAGGUCUUUUUUGGAGACUUCAAGGAGAGGAAAAAGAAUAUCCUCAAAGACAUAGUUAGUAUUGAAGCCCAUGAACAAGAAGGGAAUCUCUUUCUUGGGGUUUACCUUUCAAGGCCUUAAGGAAAGGUUAGAUGAAAAAAUUGUUGUUAAGGGAAGAGGUCUAUUGUAGGCAAAAAGCUAGGGUCAAAUGGGUAAAGGAAAGGAAGGGAAUAGCAACUCUAAGUGUUUCCAUAGGGUGGCUAACAUAAGGAAAAACAUGAAGUUCAUCAAGUCCUUGGUGAAUGAAAAAGGCGUAGCUUUAUAUGAUAUUGAAAGCAUCUAAGAGGAGAUUCAGAGACUUUUUGAAAAGUUAAAUUCUAAGCCCCCUAGAGAUUCUUUGAGGUAGGUUGGACAAUUCUCUUAUUUUAGAAGAGAGUGCUACUUAGUUGGAUCGCCCCCUUUUUGAAGAGGAAGUUUGUAAAGCUAUCUUUCAAUUAGACAAAGAAAAGGCUUAUGUGAUGGUUUCUCCAUAGCUGUGUUCUAGGAGUGUUGGGAUAUGGUAAAUGAGGAUUUCUUAAGAGUGUUUAUGGAAUGGUGAGGUAAUGAACGAAAGCACUAAUGCUAUCUUCAUUACACUUGCGCCAAAAAGAAGUCAAACCAACAAAAUUUCAUAUUUUUGACCUAUUAGCUUAGUCAUAAGUCUAUAUAAAAUUAUAACUAAAGUUUUAUCAAGUUGUAUACAAGGAGUCCAUAAAACCAUUCCUAUCUUUUAGGGAACUUUUGUUAAGGGAGACAAAUUCUAUAUGCAGUAUUUAAAGUCAAUGAAAUGGUAGAUGGGAAAAGAUGAUUAGGAGAGGAAAGUGUAGUCCUUAAGAUUGGUUUUGAAAAGAUAUAUGAUUAUGUGGAUAAGGGCCUUUUGGAUCAUGCACUAGCAAGGAAGGGGUUUAGUACAAGAUGGAGGAUUUGGAUGAGGGGAUGUAUGCCUUCAACAAAUUUUGAGGUCUUAGAGAGUGAAGUGCUAAACGAUUUAAAACAACUAGAGGUUUAAGGCAAGGAGAUCCAUUUUCACCUGUUCUUUUCAUCAUAACAAUUAACAUUUUAGGUAGGAUGUUGUUGAGAGAGGAGGAGAGUUACUCCAAUUCAGUCUUGUUUAUCUUAACUAGUGUUUUUGGCCUUAAGUAGAAGAAUUGCUCCUAUUUGGUCUUGUUUUUCUCACAUCCCUAGUUACUUCCUUUCUUUGUACAAGAUCCUAUCAUCAUUAAUGACUAAAAUUGAGGAAAUGCAAAGGAAUUUUGGGUUGGUAGGUUAAGAGAGAUCAUUUUAUAAGUAGGGACCAAGUGUCAAGUGGGGUUCGGGAGGAUUUCUUCAAGGAAUAGAACUCUCUUAGGGAAGUGGCUUUUGGAGGGUUUUUAGGGAAAGUAUAGAUCUUUGGUAUAAGGUCAUAUUGAGCAUCUACAAGACACUCCCCAAUUAUUGGGAUGCUAACAUUUUAGUCAGGCAAUUGCAUUGUUGCCCUUAGAAGGUUAUUACAUAGGUUUUUCUAGGAUUUUUCCAAUCAUACCUGUUUUUCAGUUAAGUGAUAUGGGGUGAAGAUUCAUUCUUGGGAAGACUUGUGGUGGGGAAUCAACCUCUUUGUUCUCAAUUUCUGAGUCUUUUUUGAGUUGUAAUAGUUAAAAAUUCUCCCAUUUCAUUUAUUCUUAGCAUCUCUUCCCCUUUUUUUCUUGGAACUAAUUUUUGUUGAAACCUUACUGGCAUGGAGAUAGGAGAACUUGAAAGACUCAUGUCCUCUCUUAAUUGUGUGAACUUAUCUCCAUCUUUCCUAGAUGCAAGAGUUUGUUUAUUAUCGUCUUCAAGCUUCAUUUUUCUCUAGCAAAAUUCAUGUUGAAAUCUAAAGCCCCAUCAAAGGUCAAGAACUUUGUUUGGUUAGUGGCCAACAAGAAGGUCAACACUAAUGACUUGCUUUAAGUGAGAUGACCUUCAAAGCCCUUUAGUCUUGAUCGUUGUACUAUAUGUAUGGGGAGUGGAGAAUUGAUUGAUCAUCUUUUUAACAUUGUUUGAUGACUUUGGGGCUUUAGCAUAGGUAUUCAAACGUGUUAGGUUGUGUUGGGUUCCUCCUAGAAGUAUAAGUGACAUAAUGACUAUCUCCUUUAGGGGUUUGGGGAGUACAAAGUACUAUUAGACACAAAGUUCUGUUGCAAAUUAUUUGUCUUACACUGAUUUGGAUGGUGUGGCGGGAAAGAAGUGUAAGGAUUUUUUAGGACGAUUAGAGAAUUUCGAAAGAUGAUAUAGGACCUAAUUUAUCUCCUUUUGAGCUUCUACUACUACUGCUUUCAAAGUCACUUCUCUCAAUGUUUUUCAACUCAAUUGAAUGUGGUUUGUAGAUCAAAAGUGUUGAAACAAUUAAGGGAGGAACAAUGCUUCGGGUCCUUUUUGGUACUUGUACUUGUAUCAACCCUUGGUGAAUGUUGACUCGCUUUUAUUGUAGAGUCUCAUGUGGUACUCUAUUGAUGUAUACUUCUCCUUAGUAUAUUGUAGACAGUUUCUUUACCUCUUCUUUUGAUCAAAGUUUGUAAAUUUAGGAAGGAUUCCUCAUCGCUUGUUCUUUUAAAUCCAUAUUAAUAAUAUGUUUGUUUCUGAUGUAUAUAUAACUGUUGUCCUACAUCAGAUUUAUCUUUUUAUAGCAAACCUGGCCUUUUUAGUUAUUUUUUAUUCUUUUUAAAUAUCAGCAACAAUCAUUUCAUUUCAAUUACUAAGAAAGAAACAAGAAGGAUAAGACAUCUUUCACCAAUGUACAAUCUGACUUUUGGUAUAAAUAUGCACAUAAAUUCAUAGUGGUUCAGCCUGUAAAAACCCUUGUUUUCAUUUUUUUUUUUUUUGGGUGAAAUUUUUAAAAAACUUGCCCAUUUAUUGUGAUAUGGUUUCAGGAGAGGAAAUCGUAACUCCAGUAGACCAUUCCUCAUUAUAGUUAAAAAGAUUGUAUGUUUCAGAUAUCCAUAGUGUAUGUUCCUGUCUUUUGUAUUCUUUUUGACAAUGUAGUCCUAACAGUUUUGUUGUUUCUUAAUCAUACUACAGCAAAUGGUUUCUCCAGAAGAUAGGUCAUGAAGGUUGUAGUUUUCUCUGAGCUUUGUUCUCUUCCUCUGUUUAUUGCUCUUUGACAUUUAUUUUUGGUCAAAACGCCUUCUUGGUUCUAUUUUACCUGAUCUUCAGCCACUUUUUGUAGGUCUGAACAAUUUGCUGAUGGCAUAUGAAGAUAAAUCAGCUUAUGCUUUGUGCGCUUUUUCUUUUGCUCUCGGUCCAGAUGCUGAACCAGUAACGUUUCUGGGGAAAACUCCGGUAUGCUUUAGUAGUUUUAAAAUGCCUGUCUUCCUGAAAUGCAUCUUGAGAACCCCAAGAAAGAAGUUCACAAAGUACUUAUGAUUAUUAUGUAUUUGCUUGAAAUAUUUAUCAUAAGCUUCAUCGUCAUAAUUUUGCUGCAUUUUUUUUAGUCAAAUGGGAAAGAUAUUAAGCAGGAGCCAUAUAAUGGGAUGCAACCUUGGUACACAAAAUAUAUAUGAGGAGCACUCACUUGUCUGACAGGAAAAGAGAAAAACAUGCACAUCAGUCCUCAACAGAGAGCUCUAACGUUAACCUAUCUAUAAAAGCUAACAUGAGAAACUCCCAUCCACCAAAAUACAUCCAGCAGAGUUUUCAGAACAAGGUCAUUCAGUUUCCGAACCAACAGCUCUGCUGCUUCAAAAAUCCUUAGUGCUCUUUCCAUAAGCUCCAGAUAAUACUUAAUGAGAUCAUCUUCCACACUGUCUGCUCACCUUUCCCCAAGAAUAACCAUGCCAACUUGUAGGGUCUUCUUUAUUGAGAGAUGACAAACAUAUUAUAUAUUUAGGUUGUCCUUAGUUCAAUUCCUGAAACAAGGUAACUUCCAGCAAUGGACCUCCUAAAAGGGCCUUUUAAGAAAAUAAUAAUUUGGCUGAUAGAUAGUGUUAAAGUGUAUUUGCAUUAGUGGGUAUUUUGAGUCGCAUUAAGGUAGCAUAUAACAUGAUGGUCUAAAAAUUGAAACAAAUGCAGUUUAACUAAAUGCUAGACAAGAAAAUGGAAGGCAACAUUUUAAUUUUCAUAAAUUUUCUGUGGUAGAACCACCUGGUUAACUAUGUGUACUUUAUUGUUUGUGCACAUGCACAUUUGCACACAAUGUUCUCUCAAGCAUUGAAUGGUAUAAUUCAGGACCAUAGGGUUAUCCUUUAAAAGCUUAUCUAUGGACUUUAGGAUUUUUUUUCUUGUUUCUUGUGAUGAAGAGGAAGCCCAGGGUAUAUAACUUCAUUAGGAGGAUCAAAGGAUUUGCGAGUGAUUAUGUGGCAACCGUUCGUUGGAAGCUUUUGUUUAAUAAGCUGGCUGAUGCUCUAGCUAAGGGCAAAGCUUGGUUGAAGAAUGCCUUUUAUGUUGAGAUUAAUUCUAUAUCAACCACAUGACACCUUAGUUUUGUUCAAUUUGAUCAGCUUGAAUCUUAGAUUAAGUUGUCACCUCAACAAUCGCUUUGUGCCAUGUACUUGAACUUGCUUCAGCCCUAGGUUUGGUGAGAAGAUGUUGAAGCUGUUGAAACUGUGAUUUGAAGAGAUGGAGAAGAUCCAGGAGAUGGUUUCGUAAAGGGGAAGUUCUUGGUUUGGAGUUGUAUUGAAAUCCUUUGAGAUUUCGGUGAAGCAAGUCAAGGGAAAGACGGUGGGCAAGAUAGUGGAGAGAGGGGUCGGGUGUUUUCCAAUUGGAUUAGAUUUGGUGAGAAUGGGCUAGCCUGGUUGCUGGAAAGGGUGAAAGCUUGUUUUUUUCUAUUAGAACAAAAUAUAUAUUGAUAAUAAUAAAGUUAAUGAGAAGGAUGAGAGGUCCUUCCUGCCAGGUGCAAAACCUGAUCAAAGAGCAUACCCUCCACUGUACAAGGAGAAAUACUAAUAAAAGCAUGUACAAAAUAAGUGGUUGGGUAAUCUGUUUUGCUAGGGUGUUAGGGGGUGGGAUUGGUUGGUUUUCCUUGUUGUUCUCUCUACUUUUCUGUCGUGGCGCAUUUGUAUACUACGUGUGUAUAUUGUUGCACCCUUUCUUUGGGCUUUUAAUAUAUGCUCUCAAUUUACCUAUAAAAAAAAAAGUUGUCACCUCACUACUAAACUCACUUAUGAAUUAAGAAAAACUCCGUCUACUGGGGGUAGAACUGUUGCCGCAUAUUUGUGCUUAUAUUCUCCUUUUGCGCCAUAUUUGUGUAAUUGUUGGCUUUUUACCUCAUGGAGCUUCAUUUUGGUUCAACCUUGUCUAUACAUUUGUUGCAUUGGCAACUUCUUCAUCAUAGCUCUUUCAAUAUAACAUAGAAGGUUACAUCUCAGUGAUUGUAAGACGUUUAUUGUGGGAAUCCAUCAUUAUUUUAAUGAGUAGACGUGAUGGGUCAAGAAGUAGUUGCUGCCCUCUACAAAAUAUGUAUCUGAGGUCGGGUGACUAAGAGAUGAUGUUUGCGCUCAAGAAGUGUGCUUAAGAGUUGUGGGCUUCCACUCCACCUGUGGGGUAAGGAUGUGUUUUGAAAAAUUAGGAGAUGCCUUUGGGGGGUUUGUAGUGGUGGAUGAAGAUAGGACAUUUCGCUGGAACUUGCAGUGGGCCAGAGUUCUUGUCAGGUCUAAUGAGAGGAAGGUUCCUGCGUCUUUACAGGUGGUGGUGGGGAGCUUUUACCAUGAAAUCAGCUUUGGUGGGAGACUUUGCAAUGGAUGUGCUUAGUUGAACUCAUGGUGUUGUGAAUAGAUGGUUAGGGAAGAGAUGGGGGACGGCCCAUGCACGGUGAGAAUGUUGGGGUAGGUGAUCUUUCUUUUGAAAAGAAUGAAGGCCAUGUGUUGAAUGUGGAGUUGCUGUGUGCUGCAGAUGGAAUGGUUGGCUCUGACAUUUCAAGCAUUUGCAUGCAAAAGGGUUUAAUAGGGCCUAUGGAGUGUUGGACCUACCUCUUGUUGACACUUCGGUAAGGACUUGUUUGGAUGUUGCUAUGAUGAUGGGCUUCAGGGACUUGAGUUUGGUCCCUCAAGGAAUGUUGGGUUGAGUUGGGCCCAUUGCAUGAGGUAGAGAAGGCCUAUGCUGCCCCCUAUUUCAAGCCUAGUGUGCUUCAAUGGACUCUAAUAUCCCAAACCCAUACUGUUUUUUAGGAGAAGAUGGGGCUGGUGAGCAGGGCUUUGCUGGGCCGGGGUCAGAUGUAGUCUCCUACAGCCCAUCUUUGUACUCUAGUAUGGUGGGUCAAGUCUUAAUCUUUUAAGGGAAGCCCAAAGUGGUUUUCUUUUAUAAAAGGAGGAACACCCCAAGGUUCUCACUCUGGUACACCGUGCUGUGCUUCAAUGAGUAAUGGGUCUGUGCCUUUUGACCCAGGCUUGUAGUUGAUGCCCCAAGGAGAAGGGUGAAGGAACUUGUCAUUGAAGAUGCUCUUUUGGCUAUGGUAGCUAGGUCUAAAGCUACAUCUUCGUGGCCUGAAGCUUCUUUGGGUGCCUUCUUCUUCUUCUUCUCCUUUCUCUAUGAAUGGAUGUUCAGACUAGGGGUUGGGCUUUUUCUUGACCCUUAGAGGGAGCAAAGCUGGGUUGCAUUAACGGGAAUCAUUGCAUCAGGUAGUGGGCCCCUGAGGAUGAUCCUUCAGGAUGGCUCAUCAAUGGAGUUUCCAUAAAAUUUCUCAAGAAAGCCAGGGUGUAAUGAUGUCGAACAGAGUUAAGGGAAGGUAAUCUCAAUGCAGGAGCUCAAUAGCAGUUUUCGAGAAGAGGGAGUUUCCCUCUGUUUGAUCUUUCAGCAAAAUGUCUGCCUUGAUAUCUUUUGUGAGAAUGCCAAUUAAGGGCUUCGAAAUGGAGAUUAUUUCCCUACUGGGGAAGUUGGAGACCAAAAGAGGUGGUAGAAGUCCUAUGCUUGGAAUGAAGAAGAAGUUGGGCCUUUGGUGUUGCAUUCUACAGUUAGAGGAAACCUCUUGUGUUGGCUCAAUUCAUUCAUGGAGAAGAAGUAGAAGAAAGCAUGGAGGGUCGCCCCCUUGUGCUUGUUUUGGACUUUAUGGAUGGAAAGAAAUAGGAGGUUGUUUAAUGAUGUCGAGCAGUCGGACUAAGUUAUAAAAUCUUAUUUUAUGUCUAUUUUUUUGGAAUAGGUUAAAGUGUACAUAGGGGACCAUGCAAUGUCCUUGGUAGACUUUGUAGACUUUGAGCUUUAUGUAGUGUGCUUCAUGUGUACUUUGGUGCAUCUCCUCUUAGGCACUUCUAAUAUAUUUUCUAUUUGCCUAUCAAAAAAAAAAAAGAAAAAAAAAGAAGUGCUGUAAAAUUAGUUCAUUUUUUAAUUCAUAUUUUACUUUCCCACUUUAUUUGUUUUUUAGUUCAUGCAAUAAAUAUGAUAAAGGCAAAAAUAAUAUAGACUUAGUACAAAUUUCAGAUAUUAUAAGAAAAUAAUUAAAACUUCAAAUUCUUUUUUAAUUGUAUUAGUAUAUGAUUUAACAUUAUUAUAUGUUAUCUAAAAAUGCAUUUAUAUUAACCUAAAAUAUAUAUAAAAUAGUCACUUGUAUGUGUUAGAUGGGUGGUCUUAGGUCAAAUAAAGAUUUCUUAACCCAAACUUGCAUUUUUUUUCCUUUUUUGUUUGUUUGUUUUCUACCUUCCACCACUCUAAUGGUUUCCCUUUACACCUGUUAGCUAGUAGAACAAAAAACCUACAGCUAUACCAUUAGAGUUCCACUGGCAAUGCCUCCUUCAAGGUUGCCGAGGUUGCAAAAAGAUACCUAUCACCAACCUACCUACUGCUACAGCUGUCACUAUUUUGCCAUGGUUGCCAUUACUCUAUUAAGGCUAGCACUGCUAACUCUCACAAUUCAAAGACUCCUACCACUCUCAUGGUGCAAGGAAGAUAUACCUACCACUGUUCUACCAGUCACUGUAGUUAUUGAUGUCAUGUGUAAUUCCAUUUCUAUGAGACUUUUAUAGGUGUUUCCUCCUGGUUCCCUUUCCCACAUCCCAUGGAAAUGGUGGCUACCUAGUGGCCACCAACAUGCUAAAAUGGGCAAUGGCAGUCACUUCCCACUUUCACUCAUUGGUUUUAUUAGUUUAUUCUAACAUUAUCAAAGGUGCCUCUAAUAACUGUCCUCAUUCUUCUCUACAAGGAGCAUCCCUAGCAUUUCCUCUUUUGUGCUAAAAGGUAUUUCCUAAAUGUUGCUCAGAGGUGCCUAAUGGCAUAGCAUCCAAAAGAUUUAUGCCUGCUUCAGUUGGGAAUAGCCCGUGGGGAGCCAAACAAAGCUUGAUGCACCUCAGCAAGGGGCUUGUCCCACUCCAAGAUCAAGUAUAUAGGAUAGUCUAAAGGUUCUACAUUUUGCAAUUAGAGUUUGCAGUUCACCGAACUUGUAUUUCCCCAACACUACCAAGCCCAUUUCAUUUGGAUUCAGAGAUGAGGAUCCAUUGUGUGUGAUACGUCACUGUCACCCACAGUUGUUAAAGACAAACCAAAGGCCUAAGGCACGGUGAUGCCCUAGCUGUGGCUCGUUACCUUCUAAGGUGUGUGCCUUGUUGGAGAGGUGCGCCUCAUCUAUUUUUUUUUUUUCCUUUUUUUUUCUUUUUUUUUUUUCAACUCAGGGAAAAACAAUGUCAUUUAUUUUUAACCAAUUGUUUUUCCCUUCUUGUUUUAGAAAAAUUCAAAGGCCAAAAUCUUUGUGCUUGUGGCAUUGUGUUCAAAUAUUUCCACACCUAAAAAGUACUUGUAUAUAUCUCUUGUUUUUAAGCCUCUCAUCAUCUAAAUAGCAAAAAUGAUCUUUUUUUCCCUGUUUUGCAUACUUUUAUUCUUAAAAUGUUGAGUGAAUAUUAUAUCAUUGUAUUAUUUUUUUGUUGGAUUCUUCUUUUUGAAUGUUGGAAUCUUUAUUUUUUGUUUUGUUUUGUUUUUCCCCCUUGGAUUGGAGGAUCACAUUUGCUGAUAAAUAAGCAUAUGAACAAAUAUUUGCAUGGAUACAUCCACAUUAUCUUAUAAAAUUGCACUUGUGUCCUAAGUUGUGCUUCUUCACUGAAGUGUGCACUGCAGAUUCUGUCUUUUACACUUAAGCCUUUUAGAGAGCUUUGCACCUUAGAUUCACCUUGCACUUUUUAGAAGUAGGUUGUCACUUUAUUUUCUGUAGCAAAGGUGAGCUGGUUAUGCACAUGGUGCUAUCUUAUUGGCUAGGUCUGUUAGCCCAAACCAAUCUUAUCCAAAGGACCACUAUACAUAGGCCCAAGGGUUAUCAUUUGAGGGAGUUUUUAGAUUUUUCUAGAAUUAAACCUCUGUGCUUUAGAAGCUGAACCAUUGAGUUCUCUACUUGAAAGCUUUCAGAAAGCCACAAGUAAUCCCACCGACCCCCCAAUAUGUCUUACUCUUCUUCAGUCCCUCUUGAAUUGGACUUCAACACCCACAUGGCCAAUCUCCUCUAGCAGAGAUCCUACUGCAAAUGCUACUCAUCAACAUCCUGGUUGGCCAGAUCUUAUUUAAUUGCCUUUUUGUUGUUGGUGCAGGUAGAAGUAGCACCAGUAAACUCAGUUUUGCAAUUGACUGGUGGUUUACAAGUUUAAACCCAUGAAUGUUGCUGAAAAUUUUCUAGACUUGUGUAGCUGCUUCACCUUGAAAUAGUAUGGCUAUUUUCUCCAAUUUGGGGUUCAUUAUAUGAGUAUGUAGAAGCUCCAUGAGCUUGAAUCCCUUGAACAUGUGUUGACCUAUUGGCUUCAGAAACACUCUUUUCUGAAUCCUUCCUAUUUUAUUCCUACUUUUAUGUAAUUAAUUAUUAUUUGUUGGGGCUCUCCUUCAGUUAUUUAACAAUCAGGAUCUCCAAUUAGGGUUUUCACUACAUUAGGAGCAUCUAGAAGCUCCAUGAGCUUGAAUUCCUUGAACAUGUGUCAAUCUGUAGUCUUCAUAAACACUUUUUUGUGCAUUGUUCCUAUUGUUCUCUAACUUACACACUAAUGAUUGUUGUUAGCUGUAUUGCUCUAGAUUAAGAUGUAAAAUGCCUGGGCCAGCUUUGGUUGGUCUGGGAUUUUAAUUUCCAUCCCUGGCUUUGGCCCGUAGGCUCAAGCCCCUCAAUAAAGGUUGGAUGUCUCUGGGCCGAAUUUCAAGCCUUCAUGCCCAAUUUACAACAGAUUAGUUGCUAGCAUCCUUGGCAUGCAAACUAGAUCUAAAACUCUUAACAAAUUUUUGCACAGAAGGGAUCAGUAACUUCUGAAAUUCUGCAUCUCUAUAGUUAUUUUCUAAAACAAUUUUUAGUCAUUGGACUUUGUGGUACAUACUCUCUUUAAUUCCUGUACUUCUCUGCACGAUGAAGUGCUAAUGAAAUCCCAGAAAAAUAAUAUGAUCUUGUGUUCUGUUCCAUUUCAAAUACCUUUUAGAACAGUGAAUAUGAAUCUCCAAUGCAUUUAAUGAACUAGGGAUCUGCAAGCUAAAAGAUUUUUUUUUUUUAAAAUUGGAUUUUAGUAGCUGUCCCCUUUAUGCACUAAUCUCUGCUUAAUUUUCUUUGGAAAGUAGGAGAAUUUGGUGCCAAGAUAAAUAACCCUGGAACAGAUGGCUAGAAAAUCCAAAAAGAUAAUCGGAUUUACCUUGAGCGAAGACCAAGAACCAACAACAUUUAGCACUGCUGCACUAUUUAUCUAAUGUUGUCCGCAAGACAUUGUCAGAACAAAUAUUGUAGUCCGUCAUAGGCUUUGACCAUUUUGUGGUCAAUGUUAACACUGGUAAAUGUAAUCCUACUUAAAAAUUGGGAAUGUUCCCCCAAUUUUUUGUUUAGAAGUAAUACUGUUAUGUUAGCCUUUCACAGUGCUUUCAUCAGUAGAGAUCCAUGAUUGACUAACAUGUCUUCGCAUGGUCAUAUGUUCAUGGUAUUUCUAGUUUUGGACCAUGUCAGGACCUGCAUGUAUUGGAAAUUAGCACCCUCCCCAUUUCUCUAGUUAUUAUUGCCAGCAUUUGUGGUUCUCCCGUGACAGAUUCAUGAUUCUGUUGUAAUAGAAUUUUCAAUCUUACUCGAGGACACUUUGUUUUAACUAAAAUCUGUAACAUUGCAUGCAAUGAUUUAGAACCAAGGAAAAGACAAAAAGGCAUUCCAACUAUAGGCUCUAGAAGAACAAAAUAUGAGCUUGUUGCUUCCCUUAGUUUUCAAAUUUACUAAGGCAUAUGUAGUUAUUCUUCACUUAGAACUCGACUUUUUCUCUGCUUUAAUUAUAGUGAAAUGUGUGCAUGCUUGUGUGUGUUUUUGGGCUAUGGGGUGGUGGGUUGGUUGUUGGUCAUUGUUGCUGGGUUGUUUCUAUUGUGAUCCUUACGCAAUGACUUCCUAGCUUAGCUAGAACUUGGAUUUUUCACACAACUGCUCCUUGCUUGUAAGGUACAAUGUGUGUCACUCGUGCAUUACAAGCGCUGAAUGAUAUGCAUGUAAAGUGAAAUUAUCAUGAUCAAUUCCCAACAGUUUUUUAUUGUUAUUUGGCCUGAUUGUUUUGCUAAACAAUGGACCAGAUCUGCUAAAAAAGCAACAUUUUUUCAUUUACCUCUUCUCAUUUGAUAUUCUUUGGCCUUGCAACCUGAUCUCCCUUGUCUUGCAUCGUUUUCUGUUGUUUUUUUGGUUUUAUGCAGUUGUGUCUAUGGAAACAUUACUAGCACUAAUGUUUUGAUAUUUCGCUGACAUUUUAGGGGAAGAUAGUUCCUCCAAGGGGACCCAAUGAUUUUGGAUGGGAUCCAAUCUUUCAGCCAGAUGGAUAUGAGCAGACGUGAGAUCAUCCUUCCUCUUUGCUUUUCCCUCUAGUUUUAUGUUGCAAUGGUAAUCAUCCAUUCCCAGUGCAGCUAAAUUAUGUUAUUAUUUUGAUUGCAGUUAUGCUGAAAUGCCCAAGGAAGAAAAGAACAAGAUUUCACACCGCUACAAGGCUCUUGCACUAGUAAAAUCUCAUUUUGCUAAAGCUGGAUAUGUUUUCCAGACAGAUUCCCCUAUUUAAGAGGCAGCUAUGUAUUUGCUUUGUUGCAAUAAGAGUAGCACCCUGGUAAACAGUUGGAUGCUCUUUUCAACAGUGUCAAUUAUUCCAUUUUCCCUAAUCAGUUAAGGGAUGGAAAGAAAGAAUGGCCAUUGAGUAUUUUGAUAGUGUUUGCUGCAUAGAGAAACUCAGAGAGGAACAGAGAAUAUACUUACUUUCUACCUUAUGGUGAAGUCAAAAAGUCUUGUAAAAAUGAAGCCCAAAAUACACUUAUUUUUCAUCAAUAUAAAUCUCAUCCAGCAAGUUUCAUUACUCAUUUGCUUUAGUUGAAAAACAUUCAUAUUAUUUCUAGUAGACCAAACUGCAGUCUUUUUAUUGACCAUGAAUGAUUUAUCUUUUAUCAGAUACAUGGAUCAUGGUACAAUGAUUGAAUGAAUCCAGUAAGAAACUUUUGAUUCGGUCGUGUGUUUUGUAAGAUGUUGUGAAAUUUAUGUGGAGCAUGAAAAUGUGUGGAUUGAUAUACUAUUGAUUGCCACGUUUUGUUUGUUGGAUGCUACCAAGCCUUGAUUGCUAUACGAAGCACAGAUGGCCCCAGUCAAUACUCUCUGUUGCUUACGAAUGUGACAAUGCUUCUGAUCAAGGGCUUAAUUUAAUUUGCUCAAGUGUCACCCCUAACCCACUACUUAAUGGAGGCUAACAGAAGCAUCUCCACUUCUCUCUAACAACCUUGUGUUGAUAAAUGGAGGGUGUUAAAUUUAGGAGACCGACUGCGAUGUAAAAGUUAGAAUCUGUUCUCUAACGUAAAAUCUUAAGAUAUGAUGUUGCUGUUAAGUGAAAUGAGUUUGUCUUGCCAACCCACUACACGCCUAUUGAUGAAGAUUCUGAUUGCUUAUUAAUUAUGGAAUGCUAUUUUCAUAUCGACAAUUGUGUCCAUAUCUCAACAUGAAUGCCACCAAAUGUUCAGUUAGCCAAACUGACUUCCACAUGAUUAUGUCCCGAUGAGAAAACAACAUUUGAGAUAUUUUUCAUCUUUCAUUUUCACAAGCAUAUUUCACCAUAGCCGUUUUCAGAUUGAGGCCAAAAAGGUGAAGCCCAUUGGGGGGGGCUCCAACUCCAACAGAGAAGAAAGGGAAAUUCAUGUGGAGAAUGAAGGAGUCUGUGUGAAAGAAGAUGAUGAUGCGUGAUAUUCAUAAAUAACAUGGAGGGGGGUGGCGUGACAUAUUGGACAACGUUGGGCUGUCCACACAUGCAUAGUCAAUUCAUCAUGUGCAAAUUGGGCCCAAGCACCUCUCUCUCACAUGCAACAGUGGGCCCCUACCCACCCUUCAAGCCCAAAUGGACGACACCUUAGAGACUGGUCCCAAUAUCUAUUCUUCCAUUUUGGACAACGGCUACAUUUGUGAGUCUCUGUGUGACUUUGUCUCUUCCAGAUUUAGGCUCCAUCUUCGCUGCAUCAGCCGAGUAUAAAAACACUUUCAGGUGCAAGUGGAUUGUAGACCACAAGCUCAAAGCUUCCCUUUUUUUUUUUUUUUCCAAGCUCUUGCGUAGAAGGGACAUAUGUCUGAAGGUGGAAGUUGUUAGCAAAUAUCGUAGGUGGUGCUACUAAUCUAAUUAAAGAAACAAAUUUCACGUCUCUCUUUCUUGAGUUAGACUGAAUUUCAAACACUGUCAUUUACAAUUUUCACUUCAGCUUUACUGUGGGUGUCCAAUUUUUAAAUUUUGAGACAAACUAAACUCAACCCCAUGCUUUCCCCUUCUCAUCCCUAAAUAUUCACUGGUACGUUUGGCUUUCUUUCAACGCCUUUUCAUAUCAACAUUUUAGCCAAUGAUUUCAUUUCAGCAUAUUCUUUCACAACUAACAAUUUCAUAUAUAUUAAGCAAUGCAAGUCCAAUAUCUGCAGCGAUCACCAUAGUGUGCGUGAAGUAGGAACUUUUGUGGUAGUUUCCUCUCAAUUUCUAGGCUCGGUCUUGCGCAUGUGCAUGUAAUGCUGAGAAAAAGACAAGUGAUUCAACUUCCUCAUUGGACUGACUGCCCAAGAGACCCUUGCGUGGUGUAUUCAUGCUCCGCUCCUUCGCCGAAACCUCCUCUCAAAGAGGGCACCGCUCAUUGAGUGUACGAAAGCAUUCCCAUUAACUAUUGGCUAGUAAAAAACCUUUUGAGUACCAUACCCAUGAAAAACGAUAACCACCAUCACAAAAUUCUGCAGGGAAAGGCGGAACACAAACAGCGUUGUAUACGUAUAUAUAUCCAUGUGGAAAGACCAGAAUUACACGCCAAAAGAAAGAAAAAGAUGGCUCCCAUUGACAAAAAUAAAAAGCAAAAAGAAGAAAAAGGAAAAGAAAGUAAAUAUAGGACCUUCCUGCUAUGCAUCAUCUGUAACAAAGUUUUUUCAUAACACCAAGUUUGACAUUCAUACACUAUUGCUUGUAUGACCUAACAAAAGUAAAUAGGAAAAAAAAGGGAAAAGGAAAAAGUAAAAGAAAAGGAAAAAGAAUCACAAAAUCAUUUAGCUCCUAUAAACCCCAAAAGGCAAGCCAAUAUGUAGCAACAGAGACAGAGGGGGAGAAAUGGAUGAUGAGGGAGUGGAUGGUGAAGAGAGGUGAUUGAUUGGAAGAAGCUAGGAAAGACACAAAAGACGAGAAAAUAGAAAUGAACAACGCUACCGCACCUGCUCCGACAAUGGCACUGUUUUCUUGGGUUGAAGCAGGGGGAGGUUGCGCAAUCACAGACACACCGAGUGGAAUAAGUGAACACCAGGGUUUGACAAUUUGAUGACAUGUGUAAAAAAUGUACACUUGCCCAAAUCAUGAUGAUAGGAUAGAUAGGGAAGUAACAAAUCGCCUGAAUACGGAUAUUGGAUAAUGCUAUAUGGUAGUAAAAAUGGAUAUCUAAGAGGGGAAAAAAAAUGACCCUUUCUUCUUUUUUUUUCUAGGCAUCUUUUUCCCCAUUCAAUUAACUGAGAUUUACUAGCACUGGGAACCCCUGCGGCAGGAGAGAGCACCAGCAUUGGAAGUAAUGGAGCCAACCAUGGAAGAGGACUUGGCUCCCAAGCUUGAAGCUCUAGCAUAGCUGGCUGAGGCACCGGCACCAGAUGGGGUGAAGUAGGCUCCAUUCAACAGCAGGUCUCCUUCUGACCUCCAAUUCCAACCCUUCCACUGGCCUGAAGGCGUGUCUACCCUUUUUGUCACCUGUCCAAGACAAAAUUUAUCAUCAACAAACAAAACAAUCAAGUAUGUGAAGGGCAUUGAGAAGUCAAAUUUUAUAGUUUCAUCAAUGUGAGAUGCAGGGGUCGUGAUACCUCUUUUGCAAAAGGAUUGACUGGUGCAAGAUAUCUGUUGCCCUGGCUGUUGAUGGUGGGGCUUGCACUUCCACCAAUAGCAUACAUUUCCCAGUGAGUGUAGUCAUUGUUGACCACAUGGAAAUAUCCAUGUCUGCACCUGCAUAUUUCAUAAAAUUCUUUUAUAUCAGAUACAAUUCUAGUUGGAUAAAAACACACAGAACCAAAAGCAACCAAAGACAGUUUGAACAGAGAGGCUCGAUUAUGUAUUUACCUUGGCAUCCUCUGGAUCAGACCCUCUCCAAAAUGGUUAUAGGCAAUUGUCACUUGCAUUUGCUUGUCUCUUUCAUAAGAAUCA
This 72412-nucleotide long non-coding RNA is filed under the name Vitis vinifera (wine grape). Its description in RNAcentral is "long non-coding RNA (VVIN_LNC001436)". Lineage: Eukaryota; Viridiplantae; Streptophyta; Magnoliopsida; Vitales; Vitaceae. The record is from RNAcentral.